UGAUAAUUAGAUUGCCAGGUAAGCCCAAUUUAAGGAAAAACUACUAAAGGAGGGUGUUCCACAUUAUUAAUCAAAGCACCAUUUUCAUGCAAUAUGAAGAAAAAGGAUCUCUCUGCUGCCGAAAAGAGUGAAAUAGUUCAAUGCCUUGGACGAGGUAUGAAAACAUUAGAUAUUUCACAAAAACUUAAGCGUGAUCAUCGCACUAUUAAGAGAUUUGUGGCUGGUUCAGAGCACAGACGGGUUCAGGCAGAUAAAGGCACAUUGAGGAAGAUUUCUGCCAGAUCCAUACAUCGGAUCAAGAGAGCAGCUGCUAAAAUACCACUACAUAGCAGCAAACAGAUAUUUGAAGCUGCUGGUGCCUCUGGAGUCCCACGGACAUCAAGGUGUAGAGUCCUCCAGAGUCUUGCAACUGUGCAUAAACCUUCUAUUCGGCCACCACUAACCAAUGCUCACAAGCAGAAAGGGCUGCAUUGGGCAGAAAAAUACAUGAAGACUAAUUUGCCGUGCAACCCUGGAUGGUCCAGAUGGAUGAAGUAGUGGAUGGUUGGUGGACGGCCACCCUGUUCCAACAAGGCCGUGACGUCAGCAAGGCGGUGGUGGUGUCAUGUUUUGGGCCGGAAUCAUGAGAAGAGAGCUGGUCAGCCCCUUUAGGGUCCCCAAAGGUGUAAAUAUGACCUCUGCAAAGUAUGCGGAGUUUCUGACUGACCACUUUCUUCCCUGGUACAGAAGGAAGAACUAUGCUUUCCGUAAUAAAAUCAUCUUCAUGCAUGACAAUGCACCAUCUCAUGCUGCAAAGAAUACAUCUGCAUCAAUGGCUGCUAUGGAGAAAGUCAUGGUGUGGCCUCCAUCCUCCCCUGACUUCAAUCCUAUUGAGAACCUUUGGAACAUCCACAAGCAAAAGAUCUAUGAGGGUGGGAGGCAGUUUACAUCCAAACAGCAGCUCUGGGAGGCUAUUCUGACAUCUUGCAAACAAAUUCAAGCAGAAACUGUCCAAAAACUCACAAGUUCAAUGGAUGCAAGACUUGUGAAGCUGCUAUCAAAUAAGGGGUCCAAUGUUAAAAUGUAACGUGACCUGUUAAAAUGUUUAAAAAGUUAAAAUGUUGCUAUAAGUUUGAUUGAAAUAGCUUUUGAUUUCAGUAAAUAUGCUGCAAACACAACAAAUGACAAUUGUCAGUUCUUUACAACCUAUAAAGUGUUUUGAAACUUACUGUGCGUAAUAAUAUGGAACAGUGCAUUGUAAGUUUUUUUUCUGUUUAAAAAAAAUACUGUUAUCAUUAGGAGGUUUGUUCAAUAAAAUUUGAAUUGUACUCUUAAUAGUUGAUAACAUGACAAUUAUGCUGACUGUUAUUUACAUCAAUUAUUUAGGUAAGUGAGAAAAAGAUAAUUUGCAUAAUAAUUUGGAACAGGGUAUAUAUACCUCAACCUGUGUUAGAAAUGAGGUCUGCCUUUGUUAAAGAACCACUAUAGUGCCUGGAAAACAUACUCGUUUUCCUGGCUCUAUAGGGUCCUUGGGUCACCCCCACCCUCAGGGACCCCCUCCCGCCGGGCUAUAGGGUGAGGAAGGGGUUAAUCCCUUACCUUUUUUCCAGCGCCAGGCUCCCUCAGCGCUGGGGACUCUCCUCAGCCGCGCGCGCAUUCACCCAGUCUCAUAGGAAAGCAUUCUCAAUGCUUUCCUAUGGACGCUGGCGUCUUCUCAAUGUGAGAAUCUUGAAAAAUGAUGUCACAUUACCGGAACAGUUUCGUCAUCCGCCGAUGAUGUGCUAUAAGAGAAAUAAGAGUCUCAAGGACUUAUUGGUUAGGACGGACCACACAUAUUGUUAUUCACAGGAACAAGUGUCUACUAAUUUAGGCUUUUAUAGGUGUUUAUGGUGCGUUACCUGUGGACAUAUGCUCCCAGGGAAAUUUUUCACCCACCCACAUACAGGAAAGAAGUAUAAUAUCAAACACAGACUAACCUGCACCACUGAUUAUGUAGUAUAUAAGUUAAGUUGUCCCUGUGGGUUAACAUAUAUUGGCAAAACAGACUUACCUUUACAGGAACACAUCCGUGACCAUAGAUCGAGUAUAAGAGUGACAUAUAGAGACCAGAAAUCAGACCUCCCGGUGGCCAAACAUUUUUUUGGAACAAGGACACACACUACCAACCCUAAAACUGAUGGCUAUUGAUCACAUACCAGUCCCGCGAAGAGGAGGGGACAGGAAGAAAAUGUUACUACAACUUUAUUGGAUUAGAACCUUGAGAACCGUUUAUCCAAACGGUCUCAAUGAGAAAUACACUCUCUCAGCAUUUUUAUAAUAUUUGUAUUGAUUAAUGUGUGGAUGAAAUGCGAUGCCCACCCUGGGGGAUAGGCAUGCAUUUUUACACCAUUCCGCUACAUUAUUUCAAGUUGUAUAUAGUUCCAUUAUGUCACUCAUGUUGUGUGAUUGUGAGCCCACCCUGGAGGAGAGGCUAACCAAUCGUUUACCUAUAGUGACUAUCAAUUUAUGUGAUUAUUUUUAUGUUGUUUUUUAGAAUUGCUAUUGCCAUUUUUAUUUUUCAGUUUCUUCUGUUAUAGGUAUGAUCCUAUUGAACACGAUAUUGGAUCAAGGUUGAUCCAAAGUAAUGUUUUGUGUUCCUUUGUGAAUUUUUUUUUUGAGUAUUGGGACAUCAUUGUGAUUGGACUAGUUAUGUCCUUCAUUGAGUGAGAAUAUGUGACCAAAUGGUUCUUUUGUGGAUUUAUGCUCCUUUUGGAUUUUAAUUAAUAUUGUAAAUUUAUUUGGUAAGCCUAUAAUAAUAAUUCUACCAGCCGUAUAUUGAAUGCAGAAUAGGGCUCACAUUAUUCACUAUCUUAAUGGUGUUUAUGUAAUUUGUAAGAUAUUAAUUAUAUCUAUGCCCAGUUUAAGUAGUAUUACUACCUUUUGUUUGUUAGGUUUUUCAGUAUGAUUAGUCAUAAGCAUUGUAAUAAUAACACUCCACUAUUUUUAAGUGGAUGGAUAAUGGAAUUGGGAGUUGAGGUUCAGUUCAUACCCCCUGGCAAUUCAGUAUGGAGGAUUAGUAUUUAUAUUCUCCUUAUUUGUGUUUAUGUCCAUGGUUACAGUGUAACUGGACUUGGUCGUAGCCUUAAUAUAUUAAUAUAUAAAUAUAUAGUACUCUAUCGUUUUAGAUAAAGAGAGUUGAUGGAUUAUGUAAAUAGGAGUUGGAAUUCUGUUUGUACCUUUAGGGAAGUCUAAACACGAUGUCCUCUUUAUUAUGAGUCUUGAUUUAUGGUAAGACCACUGUAAUUUUGAAUUCCAAUAUGCAAGUUGCUCUCAGGUUCGUUUCCAAUUCAAAUAGAUCGCUAUGCAGAAAUUAUGUUCAUAACUGAUUGUCAUUAUGCCGAUUGAAAUUAAUAGAAAGUAUAUACACAGCUUUUGUUCUCCUGCGGUGAAGCAGCUAUUAUGGUUGCUUUUAUAUUUUUUUACAUUUAUAAUUGUUUGUAUACCCAGGUUUCUAUGGCAACGACCCCUGGCCGCGUUAUCAAGCGUGACACCACGUGGCUGCAAACUCACGUCGGGCAGCCCGCGGCAAUCUCGGUGCUGGCGUCCUGGGAGUCGGAUGUUACACAGGUGGGGGUGAGUAAGUUUUAAGAUUUUUGCUUUAUAUGUUGGAUGUUUUUUGUGCACAGUGUGUCCUGAGGAAAGCUUGAAGGUAUCAAGCUGAAACAUUGACCGCUUUUAUUUAGAAGGUAAAUAAAAGUUAUAUUUUAUAUAAAGUCCUUGGAGUGCUAUACUAAAAUAUUUUUUGCGUAUUUUGAGAUAUAUGUGUAUAUAUCUCAAAGUACAGUUAUAAUGAAAUCACAUAUACGCAUUAUAUAUGUGUAAUAUAUUAUAAAAUGCUUUUGAUUUUAUAAUAUAUUAUACAUAUAUCAUUUUUUUUUUUUCAGCAGAGAAACUGCUGGAGUCUCUGGCAGUCUCCCCCGACCGUCAUCGCCGUGGAUCGCCGGUCCAAGUAAGUCCAGGACUCCUAUUUGCUGUGGACGUACUUGGUACGUCUGCGGUCCUUAACGACCGCUUUUUGUCGGACGUACAUAGUAUGUUCACAGUUGUUAAGGGGAUUUAUGUAUUUAUAACGUCAUUGUAAAUGUAUUUUGAUUUAAAUAAAUAUGUAUAUUAAUAUCAAAAUACAGUUAGAACAAAUUUAAACCACUUUAUAAUAUUUUUUUAAAUGUAAUCUUUUUUUAAAAAUUAUUUUUCAAUGUAUUUAUUAUUUUUACUAUAUAUAUAUAUAUAUAUAUAUAUAUAUAUAUAUAUAUAUAUAUAUAGUAAAAAGUAGUAAUGGUAGCACUCACGGUCUUCAGUUAAAAAUCUUCUUUAUUCAACAAGAGUUAAAACAUAAGGUCUAGGAUCAACGAUUCAGUCCUCUCUUAGGACUUUCAUGAUAUUGAUAUUGAUGAAAGUCCUAAGAGAGGACUGAAACGUUGAUCCUAGACCUUAUGUUUGAAUUCUUAUUGAAUAAAGAAGAUUUUUAACUGAAGAUCGUGAGUGCUACCAUAUGCCCAUCCCAUUUGUUCCCUAUUAAGGGUUAAUAAGCAUGUAGGGAUGUACACCCUGUUCCAAAUUAUUAUGCAAAUUAUAUUUUUCUCAUUUACCUAAAUAAUUGAUGUAAAUAACAUUCAGUAUAAUUCUCAUGUUAUCAACUAUUAAGAGUACAAUUCAAAUUUUAUUGAACAAACCUCCUAAUGAUAACAGUAUUUUUUUAAAACAUAAAAAACUUACAAUGCACUGUUCCAAAUUAUUACGCACAGUAAGUUUCAAAACAAUUUAUAGGCUGUAAAGAACUGAAAAUUGUAAUUUGUUGUGUUUGCAGCAUAUUUACUGAACUCAAAAACUAUUUCAAUCAAACUUAUAACAACAUUUGAACUUUUUUGCUCGUGGAUGCUCCAAAGGUUCUCAAUAGGAUUGAGGUCAGGGGAGGAUGGAGGCCACACCAGGACUUCCUCUCCUUUUAUCCCCAUAGCAGCCAUUGAUGCAGCAUGAGAUGGUGCAUUGUCAUGCAUGAAGAUGAUUUUAUUAUGGAAAGCAUAGUUCUUCCUUCUGUACCAGGGAAGAAAGUGGUCAGUCAGAAACUCCACAUACUUUGCAGAGGUCAUCUUUACACCUUCGGCGACCCUAAAGGGGCUGACCAGCUCUCUUCCCAUGAUUCCGGCCCAAAACAUGACUCCACCACCGCCUUUCUGACGUUGCAGCCUUGUUGGAACAGGGUGGCUGUCCACCAACCAUCCACUACUCCAUCCAUCUGGACCAUCCAGGGUUGCACGGCACUCAUCAGGGAACAGGACUGUUUGAAAAUUAGUCUUCAUGUAUUUUUCUGUCCAAUGCAGCCGUUUCUGCUUGUGAGCAUUGGUUAGUGGUGGCUGAAUAGAAGGUUUAUGCACAGUUGCAAGACUCUGGAGGACUCUACACCUUGAUGUCUAUGGGACUCCAGAGGCACCAGUAGCUUCAAAUAUCUGUUUGCUGCCAUGUAAUGGUAUUUUAGCAGCUGCUCUCUUGAUCCGAUGCAUGAAUCUGGCAGAAAUCUUCUUCAAAGUGCCUUUAUCUGCACGAACCCGUCUGUGCUCUGAAUCAGCCACAAAUUUCUUAAUAGUGCGAUGAUCACGCAAAGGCAUUGAACUAUUUCACUCUUUUCGGCAGCAGAGAGAUCCUUUUUCUUCCCCAUAUUGCAUGAAAAUGGUGCUCUGAUUAAUAAUGUGGAACACCCUCCUUUAGUAGUUUUUCCUUAAAUUGGGCUCACCUGGCAAUCUAAUUAUCACAGGUGUCCGAGAUUGUUUUCAGUGAUCAAAAGAGCCCUGAGACACAAUGCCAUCCAUGAGUUAAACUGAAAAACAAAAUAUUUAAUCUUUGUGACACUUAAAUAGAAUUUGCAUAAUAAUUUGGAACAGGGUGUAUAUAAAAAAUACCCCUUUCUGUCUCAUUAGAAAUAUCUUUGCCAGAAGCUCAAGGAAGCAAGGCGAAUGGUUAGAGUUGGGACCCACCUGCCUUGACGUGACAUUCCCUCUCAUGGCCAUUGCACAGUAGCAAUAUGUCCAUAAUAUAUUUCACGCGUCAUUGUAUAUUAAACAUAUUCUAAUUGCCCUUUUCUCAAAUUUCUUUUUUUAAAUGGACCAAUAACCUACUAUUUUUGUGAUGAAUAGUAAUAGAAUCAAUGAUGUAAUAAUGUAAUUUAUGUAAUUAUUUAUAAAGCAUCACAGUACAUUAAAUGUUAAUUUGGAAAUGCAAUACAAUGAUAAACAAGUGAAAAUCUCUAAUUCUAUCUAUCUAUCUAUCUAUCUAUCUAUCUAUCCAUCUAUCCAUCUAUUUCUAUGAUGCCUAAUGAUUGUUAUGUUAUUGCAGCAAACUGAAGAAAAUGUGCAGUGUUCUGGAUCUUUAUAAUUAUGUUUGGCUUGUUAAAAUACAUAUACUGCACUUGAUCUUCCUCAUCAUGAGUUUGCCUGUAUGGAAUUUAUUAGUCAUAGUUCAAGCCAUUAUUCCUUUUUACAUGACCUCAGAUUUCCAAUAUUGUAAUGCAUGGGCUUACACAUAAUUUAUUCUAAAGCAACGUGGAUGAUGUGUACUUAUAAGUAAACAUGUAGCUAUUUUAUCUAGUAAUGAAGACCAGUUUACCAAUAAUACAUGUGAAUAUUUGUAAUAUAUAUAAUCCCUUUCUUUCAUACACUGCCCAAUUGGUAUGCUGUCAGUUCUUGGAAUCAACAUUUCAAAACUGAGAAUUGAGUUUUUUUAUAUUUGUGUAAGUCACUUUACCUGACGUAGGGUUCUUUUAAAGCGGCACUGUCAUGCCGAAUCCUGGGUUUUUUUUUUAACCCCCCUCCGUCCUCCACUAUCUCUAAUUGACCCCCUAGUCACCCCCAAAUGCCCCUAAGCCCCCCACAUUUCCUAUUUUUUAUUCCUUAUUUUCUGCCCUGAUCUUUAUUCAGGGCGCUGCCAUCUUUGUGUGGGUAGAUGAAGUACCUGUGGGACACGUCAUCUGCCCACACUAGAUAGACUGUGAUAUUCCCGCACAUGCCCAGUGAAACACCUGGACAUGCAAACGGGAAUUUCAUCUAUUCAUUCAUUCAUUCAUCAGACAGACGAAUGAGUAAAUAGAAAUAUCAGCCGAACAAACAAACACUGAAUAUCAGUGUUCAUUUGUUCGUUCAGUUUAUUACAAGGAGGGAGCUACCGGCACGCAGCCCCACUCCUUGUAAUAUGUAACUAUAGAAGCGGCAUUGAGCAGUGCUCCCCACCACUUCAUAAGCCCCCAAGGCCCCCCUUACUCUAUGGGGGUCAAUAUGACCCCCAUAAUAGCACAAGAGAGAGUAAAAUCUCCCCAAUGCCCCUACUCUCUAUACCGCGAGUAGGGGCAUGUCCACUAAACAGUGAGCAGCCUCUGGCUGCUCACUGUAAAAAAAACAAAAAAAAACUAUUGGCCCCCACCCCUAAACAAUGGGUGGGGGCCCUAAAGUAAAAUAAGGGGGGAGACCUAUUGUUCCCCCCCCCGGCUCCCACCGCUGCGCGGCGGGUGGGGGCCAUAAUGAUAAUGGGGGGGACCUACUGCCCCCACCCCUGGGCGGCGGGUAGGGGCCAUAAUGAUAAUGAGGGGGGGACCUACUGCCCCCCCCGCCCCCACCCCUGGGUGGCGGGUGGGGGCCAUAUUGAUAAUGAGGGGGGGACCUACUGUCCACCCCCCUCCAGCCCCCACCCCUGGGCGGCGGGUGGGGGCCAAAAGAUAAUGAGAGGGGGACCUACCUGGGCGGCGGGUGGGGGCCAUGAAGAUAAUGAGGGGGGACGGGACCUAUUUUCUUCCCCCUCGGCCCCCAUCCCCAGGGCGGCGGGUGGGAGCCAUAAAGAUAAUGAGGGGGGUGACCUACAGUCCUCCCCUCCGACCCCCACCUCUGGGCGGCGGGUGGGGGCCCUAAGUCAAUUUCCCCUCCACCCCAAGGUGACUAGGGGUCCCCAAGCCCCUAGUCACCCACCCCCCCACCCAAAUAAAAAGUCCCAACCUACCCCCCUUACCCUAAAAAAUAGUGAGGGGGGAAUAAAAUAACUAACCUGUAAUAUAAAAUUAAACUUACCAUUCAACGUCUUCUUUUUUCUCAAAUCUUUAUUUUUCAGCCCCAAAAAAGGCCAAAUAAAAAAGGAUCCUAACCGUCAAACUGAAAAAAAUAAAAAUCCUGAGCGCAAAAAAGAAACCUAAAAUAACACUGUGUAAAAUUAAACUUACCAUUCAACGUCUUCUUUUUUCUCAAAUCUUUAUUUUUCAGCCCCAAAAAAGGCCAAAUAAAAAAGGAUCCUAACCGUCGAACUGAAAAAAAUAAAAAUCCUGAGCGCAAAAAAGAAUUUCCUAACCGUCAAACUGAAAAAAAUAAAAAUCCUGAGCGCAAAAGAAUUUUCCCACUGUGUAAAAUGACACAGAGCACUGUGAUUGGAUGGCUUGAAAUCCAUCCAAUCACAGUGCUCUGUGUCAUUUUACACAGCGUGGGAAAAUUCAAAAGAACUUUCUCACGCUGUGUAAAAUGACACAGAGCACUGUGAUUGGAUGAGUUGGGGGCGGAGCGGACAGUAGGUCCCCCCCCAUUAUCUUUAUGGCCCCCACCCGCCGCCCAGGGGUUGGGGCCGGAGGGGGGGUGGACAGUAGGCCCCCCUCAUUAUCAUUAUGGCUCCCACCCGCUGCCCAGGGGUGAGGGCCGGGGGGGAGGACAGUAGGUCCCUCCCCUCAUUAUCAUUUGGCCCCCACCCACCACCCAGGGGGCAGGGGGGGGAGGACAGUAGGUCCACCCCCCUAUUAUCUUUAUGGCCCCCACCCGCCGCCCUGGGGUGGGGGCCGAGGGGGGAGGACAGUAGGUCCCCCCCUCAUUAUCAUUAUCGGUAUAACGAGUAGGGGCACCAUUUACUAAUACUAAGUAAUUUUUACUUAGUAUUAGUAAAUGUGGCUGAAAGACCAAUUUAGGUCUUUCAGCCUUUUAGUAGAUAGCUCCCUGAUACCGUGGGAAUUAGGGAGUUAUCUACUAAGCGGCUGCAAGAUGCAGCCACAGCAUGCAUAGGAUCGGAGUUUCAUUCAUUCGAAUGAACUUCCGAUCCGAAUAAAGUGCCGAAUUGAGUUCUAAAACAAACGAACAUACUGUUCUCAUUCAGUUAGAACACAAUUCGGCAGUUUCAUCUAAAAUGAAAGGAAGCAUCGUGAGAUCACAGAGGAAAGGUAAGAAUUAUUGGAAAAUUGCUCUGACCAGCGGAAAUGAAGCACACUUUGCUGCUCCGCUGGUCAGAGCUGGUCAAGCAGAGGAAUCCUCCUUAAGGCAAAGAGUCCCUACUUUGUCUUAUGAUUUUAAAGAAAACUAAAGAAGACAGGGAGAAAAGAAGAGCAGAUCCUGAGAGAGGUGGAGAAGAGGAAGAGAUUGAGGAAAGGUAAGUUCGGCAUGACGGUGCCGCUUUAAGCCUUGUCAGUAAAUAACUCCCAUACAUAGUCCCUAAUAACAACAGUUUGUAGUUUGUAGUGGCUGCAAAUUACCACAAGGUUUCCAGAUGUGUUGAUACAUUUGUGUAGCCUAUCACACAGAAUGCUUAUGUAAAUAUAACGCACUUGCAAAUCACACUAAAAGUAUGUACACAUUGAAAGGAACAUUAUAGUCACAAGAACCACUACAGCUUAAUGUAGUGGUUCUAUUGUCUAUAGCCUCUCCCUGCAGUGUUAGCUCUGUAAACAAUGCCUUUUCAGAGAAAAAGUAGUGUUUACAUUGCUGGCUAGUAACACCACCAGUGGCAGUCACAGAGACUGCCACCAGAGGUGCUUCCUAGUCCAGUGCAGCACUAGCAUUCAGCGUUUCCACACUCUGUAUGAGGAGCUGAAGAUUCCCCAUAGAGAUGCCUUUAUUCAAUGCAUUGAUAUGAGAUGAUGCUGAUUGGCGCAGCUUGGCGCUUUGCCACUCAUGUGCAAUAGCCUCCUAAUGCUUUCCCAUGGGAAUGCAUUGGAUUGGCCGAGAUCAUAAAGAUUGUGUUACCAGAGGUGCUAAGGUUAUAAAAGUAAAAUAGUUUUGUUCUAUAACUUUAUAGCAUUAUUUUUUUUCCUUAUAUCAUUACUUAUAGCAUUAUUUUAUUUGUCUUAAAACACACUUUGACACAUCACUCUACUAAAAUAGACAUUGUGUUACCAAUAUAAACAUUAUCUGAAGAUCAAUUUUAACAGGAAAAUAUGUAAGCGCAAAACAUUUUUACAUCAUUUUGUACUAGUGAUGAAUUGUUCAUAAGUACCCCAUGUUUAUAAAGUAUUUAUGUUUCGCAUCACUAAAAAAAAUAAAAUUCAAUUUUUGUGAAUAUUUCUGUGUAAUGUGUUGGUAAUUAUUCUUUACAUUGAUAAAAUCAUUUUCAUGUAACAUGUCUGAAACAGGAUGCCCUAGAGCAGAAUUAGUUAUUUACGUAAAUAUUGCAACUCUGCAUUCCUGAGUAUAAUUAAUCAGAUGGGUAUACUCUGUUUUACAACUUUAUUCACAGAAGUAAAAACAAUUAAUGUACUAAUAUAAAGUAUAUAUAAAAUAUUCAACAUUUGAUUUGCUGUAUGUGAGUAAUACAUUGGUUUUUCUUCUGUCUAGUCUUGAGAUAUAUAUGUAGAAAAGGUUCAAACCCUACAUAAAUCACAAAACAAACAUAUUUCUGUGAUUUAUAGAUUUUAUCUAUUAGUUGACUUAUGCAGUAUUAUUUAGUUUGGCAAAAUAAAUAAGUAUUUAUAAUAAAUCAUUUAGAUAUUACAUUUAAAUGCUAUAUUCUUCUGAGAUGUCCCAAUAGCAGGUGGAGUUAGAUACUAUAAAGGGACAGUUCCAUAAAGCAGGUUAUAAAGUCAUGCUAUAAUUUGUUUAAAAAUAACUUGACACAAUCAAAUCAAACGAAAAUAGGAGGAACAUUAGUUAGUACUGUCUGUAGGUGAGGUUUUAGGAUAUUAUUUUUAAAUUUAUUCUUCUAAGUUGUUGCCACCAAACUGAAGAUAUACUAAAAAAGAUGUACUUUAUGGAAUUUUUUUUUUUUUUUAUAUACAAGUAAUAGAUUCUCAAGUCAUUCUGUAAACACAUAACAAAGAGGAUUUGUGAAAUUGGACAUAUUGACAUGGUGAAAUCAGUGACAAGCACAAGUGCAAAGCAAAAUCUAUAAAGUAGGUUGUCGAGGAGUCAUAUUCAGGUCAGUGGCAUUUAAAAAAAGGGCAGAAGAUAAAGACAAAAUCUGAUGCAAGUCAAAGUAAGUGCACUCAUUGAAAGACAUAUUGGUUCAAGUUGAGGUCAAGAUAGUUUGCAGAUAGUCAGUAAGAUAAGGUCAAGGCCUUGAUAAAAUAAUGACAAUCGGCUCAGGUUAAAAUAAGGGUAGAGUAAGAAUGGGGCAGGUUUUAAGUAUAUAAAUUAAAUGCAAAUGGAGAUGUUGGAUUAAUUCUGAUAUAAUCUUUAUGAAUUAUAGUUAAAACAUAAACAUGACAGACAGUAUCUCUUGCUGAAUUCUAAACAUGUUCGCUCAAUGACUUGAGUAAUUCAAGACACUAAUAUGAGAGAUCCCAUUUUUAACAUGCUGCCAUGGUUAUGUUGAAUGUGAAGUCUUCAAGUAAGCGCCCUCAGAGUAUUUCUGGUGCUAAACUCAUUUUGCUAAAUGAUUCAGGAAUUAUUCAACUAACUGUAUUCUUUAUUCAUAGGGAUACUUGGACAAGUAUCUAUCUAGGUAAGGGACAGUAAAAAACAAAAUAGCAAAAUAUUAACUUUUUCUUGUAUGCCAUGACAUUUAGGAAACAUGCGUAUAAUUAAAAAGAGAACAUUUCCUUUUCAAUAUAUCUCUCUUUUACAUACGUAAAUCAUUCCUAAUUGAGACAAAGGGUGUUCUCCAAGAUUUAUGGUUUGUGAAAUACUGAAGGGCUAAUAAAUUUUGCCUUUUCUUGGACUGUACAAUUCAUUGUAACCAAAAGUAAAAAAACGUCUGUGUGUCCAUGUGUGAUUCUAUGGUGUUAGAAAUAUUUUUCUACACAACAAUCCACUAUUUCUGAAGAACAUUGAUUUCACAUCAGACCUAGUACAACAGGUGUCACUAUAGGUUUUUUGUGAUUAUAAAUUGUAUAAUAUUAUGUAAUGAUGCUAAAUAUGUAACCUGGAAACAAAUGAUAGCAAUAAUGGUUAUAAUGUAUUCCCACAUGGUCGAGGAGCUCCUCUGAUUUUGUGGGAAUUCAGCCCACAUAACAAGUCUACGCUACCUCUUAGGCAGCUAUAUCAUUCCACUCACCCUGAACUACACAAUGACACUCAAAUGGGGUUAUUUGCAGCAUUUAGUCAAAAGUUGCCUGCUGCCAGCCAGCCUUGGGCUAUUCACUCAUUCCUGCUUUGCACUGUCUUGGAGACAUCAAGAUGGCGGACACUCCUGUUAAUAUGCAGUGGAAGCAUCAAGUGCUCCUUCAGGGCGGAUCAAUGCCCCAGUCAGAUUUUCUUGAGGUGUUUGAUCGCAUAUGCCUGGCAUUCUGGCAGUGACUGUCGGCGCGAUCAGGUUACAGUGUACCCACACCCGAAACACCACUACUAGCCUCUGUGUAUACCUACUUACGCCACAGGUGAAUGGGGAAGCCCUCGGGGCUCCCAUUGCUGGUUAGCACAGAUUCUGAAUGAGGUGUAAAAGGGUGCCUGACCUUCUACAGGCUGCAUGCGCUUGGGUUUUUUUGAACCCCGUAGUGCCUCUUCUCCCGGAGGGUCCAUAAAAAGCAACAGACGCGUUGCUCUGCAAUGACUGGCUUUAAUAAAUUAGUCCUUCUGUGUCUUUUUCCAGGUUGAUUGAAAUAAGUCUUUUAUGUAUAUUUCUUCUUGGGUAAAAGGCUCGCCAGGUUGAUAUACGUCUAUAUUAACCAAAAAUACUAAUAUGCAAUCUGAAUUAUGUUUUUUUCAGGUUUAUUCUUACAGUUACUGAUGCAUAAUAAAACAACAAAGGACAUUACAGGAUAAUGGAUGUUCAACAGCAGAUGGUAAUUGCUGGACUCCUGAAGGGAGAGUUAGCCUACAUAGUUAGAGAAGAAGAUGAACUCCAUGCAACAAGUAGCAAGCAGCAGCAAGACCUUGUGGUCCUUUGUCCACUAUUGUAUAUAGAUAUGACCAUAAUUACAUCAGAAAAUACCCUAGCCAAAUAAGGACAAGAUACCCCAAUCCACAUCCCAGACUUCUCAUACAAAGAAAGCCUUGUGACUGUGAUAUCAUCUAUUACUUAUGUCAAUCCAGACAUCCAUAUUUUUUCAAUAGAAACAUAGAAUAUGCAAUAUUCUACAUUCCCUUUGUUUAUGGUUUGUCCCUUCCUCUUCCCACUGUCUCCCCUAUUCCGCUCCCCUCGUCUCCAAUAUAUACCCCUUUGGUUUAUGUGCUGGACCAGCAGCAUACAACUCAUCCCCCUUCUACAUUCUCUAAGUGGGUUAAGCCCGUGUAAAGCAAAUACAAUGUAACUUAAGCUUGCGUGCGGUAUGUUCCACAUUCUGUCCCAUGUUACAAGUGCCUCAGUCCAUGGCUCAGGUAGGUCGGGCCCUUUGUUCUGCCCAGUCUCCAGGUAGUAGGUUGAGAGUUCCUGGGCUGCUGCCUGGGAGGUGGAUAUCACCUGGUACCGCUAUAUCCAGGUCGCGCAGGAAAGUUGGUAUGUCCAUUGAUGGCUGGGAAUUAGCUGGUUACAGUCCCAAUUAGGAAGCUUAGGGUGCAGAGCAGUGGAUCUAUGUGACCAUUAUACUCGGUGGUCAAACCACUCCUGCUCCAAUCCAAUCCAAUCCAAUCCAAUCCAAUUUUUUUUAUUUUUUAUAAGACAGUCUUACAGAAAGGAAAAUUGGUGAAGUAAAAACACAUAGUCAUAACAUCAGUUUAAACAUUUGCUAACAUGCACAAUAGAUACAGGUGUUAUCAUCAUGUCAAUACCGUUAUAAUAUGGUCUGGUGUUCGGUGGGAGUCUCACGGGUGGUGAGAGAGCUAGAUCCGUCUGCCAUGGCUCCUUUAGAGGCAGGGGCCUGGUCGAGGCGUUGGUCCUUAAUAGAGUCAGGCAACAGUUCGGCUCAGAAUGGUAAUGCCAGUCAGAGGUAUUGUUUGUAGAAUAAGUGUGCCUUGGAUGCAUUUGUUGGCUGACUUUAGGGAGGUACCCCAAUGAGGGUUCACGGGUGUCAAAGGUACAGAUGUGCAGGGGUAUGUUGGCGAGUGGGUUCUUGUUGUAUUGUUUCAGUAGUGGGGGGUAUCAGAAGAGGAGGAAGAUGAAUAGAGGCAGAGGGGAGGGUUGGGCGGGUGGGGAGAGAGAAAGUUGAGGAAGAGAAAAAGAAAAAAGUGGGGGGAAGUGCCACCCAUUUGGAGAUCCCCACGGAUCCCGCUGAGGAGGUGAGGGGUAGAGGGGGGAGGGUGUUCAGUUGGCCUUCAUGUUCCUGGUGUUAUUCUUAAUGGUCGUUGAUCAUGCAGGCGCAUGAGGGUGGUGUUUCCCUCCAACCACGGAUCUCAGAUUUUGUGGAAUGAGUUCAGUGUGUUUUGUGUCUGGGCUGUUAGUUUAUCCAUAUCUAUGCUGUCAGUUAUUUUGUGGUGGAUUUGGGCAUGGGUAGGUAUAUGGGGGUGGACCAAGCUUCUGCUAUUGCUCUGUGGGUAGCUAGGGCUAUUCGGGCAAUGAGUUUGUUUUUGUUGCGAGUGAAGGGGUCAUUGGGUUUCGAGAGUAGCAGUGCCCUGGGUUCUAGGGGGACUGGUCUGGCGACCAGUCUUGUUAAGAGGUAUGAGAUGCUCUUCCAGAGGAGUAUGAGCUUAGGAUAUGUCCACCAGCAAUGGCUGAAUGUCCCUGUUUCACCGCACAUUUUCCAGCAGAUGUUGGUGGGGAUGCGUUUCAUUGCUGUUAAGGCCCUUGGCGUUAAUAGAAUUACAAUGUAGCUCGAGUGGCAUCUCUAUGUGAGGUCUGCUGGGAUACCGCUGCCAACUAUGGGAGGAGGGUUGGAGUGGUUGCUGGGAUGGGGGCCGGGGGACCUGGUGGGUCCCGACCGGCGGUGCGGGUGAGUAGAGAGAACGAAAAUGUGUGUAGGUGCUGGGCUUACUACAGGUGUCAACCGGGGUGGUCUGUGUUGCCUUCGGUCCCUUAGACCUUGGAGCCCGGGGUCCGGUGACAAGAAACAGGUAGUGCGGGGGGAGUGGUCAACCUCCAGAGAGGGGCAGGCUAUGGUGAUAGGGCAGGUAUUUUUCUGGUUACAGUACCGGGUUAGCGGGAACGUGAGGGGUGAGGGCCAGGAUCACAUCCCCAUGGCUCCCCAUUACCCACGCCGAGAGUCGGUCAGGGGGAAGGGGGCGCUGCAAGGUCAGCAAUAAGGAGCAAACAUAGUAAACAUGUCAAACUUAUAUACAUUUUUACACAUCACACUCUGCCACAGGGAGUAGUAUGUUCUGAAUAGCAAUACAGCAGUCACCCAGCUCGGACCGUCUUAUUUGUUUGUGUUAUGAAUCAGCACUGUUAAGUUUAAGUGUACGGGGGUAGCUGUGCCAUACAGAUGGGUUAAAAAAGACAGUGUAAUCGGUAUCCUCGGCACUGCAAAGCUAUACCAGACAUCAGGACCCCAAGUGGGCAUCCCCGUGUCCGCAGUCAGGGACGUCGCGCCCCUCCCCACCCACGGAGGAGGGAGAGAAGGAGCAAGCGCCCCCCUGCGACGCACCCCACACCCCAAGGCAUCCCAACAGUGCCUGAGGGAUCCGUGUAACUGAGUCUUGAACACAACUGUUCACUGGCCGGUUAAGGUGUACUAAAGGCACACAGAUCAUUCCGCAAGGGCCCCAGGGCUGGUGCAUUCGGUGACAUAGCUGCCCUGAUCCUUGAUGUGUUUAACAACUGUGCGGCUCAUGGGGAACCCCCGGGCACCCUAUCAGGGAGGGCACAGCUGGUUUCGGGAUUACUAGUGGCCCACUCUCAGUGGGCCACAGAGCCCCAGCAGUGCCAGGGGGGGAAACCAUCCCGGGCAGGAUGGGGGGAGACACUCUGCAUUCUGUGGCAAGGCUGAAUGAACUGUACAUGCAUAGCAAUACAUAAUACCUAGUAACGAGUGUAUCUCACGGUUUCCGUGCAGUCGUGGUAGUCGAUAGUGUGGUUUCCACUAGAUUGUGAGGAGGUUUGGCAGGGCGUUGUCCUCUGAGGUGUCCGCAGUCUCACAGGGGUAGCAGUUCCCACACGUGGCACAGGGGGGCCAGCUGCUGAGAGGUAGAUGGUAGGUCCAGGUGCAGGUCCUGGAGGCCUAGUUGCAUGCGAGGUCUCGUGCUUCAGAUGGUCUGUAUAGAGUGUAGGUUUGAUUCUCAUUCCUCACCAUCAGUUUACAUGGGUGGCCCCAGGAGUAUCCUAUCCUUCGUGAUUGUAAUGCUUCGGUCAGGGGUCUCAGUUCUCUUUGCUUGAGUAAAGUGGAAGGCGCCAGGCCGUGGUAUAAUUGGACUGUGUGGCCUUCAAUUUGUCCUCAAUUCCUGAUGUGCAUGUUCUAGGAGGGCCAUGGUGGUUUCAUGGGUGCUGGUCGUAGCAGAUACUUCUUUUAGCCUGUCCUCCAGCUCGUGGGUGCACUUGGAGAGGUCAGCUAGGCCUUCUUUGAUCUGGGCCAUGUUUGGUGAGUUCUGAAGCCACUAGGGAUUUCAUGUCUGCCAGUAGGUCUUUCAAGUCCAUUUUAGUGAGGGGUGAGGACUCCAUCCUGUGGCUGGCUGUGCUAGCUUCGGAAUCCGAGUCUGAGGCCUGCUGGCUGACUGCACGUGGUGGUUCUCUGUCAGGCCUGUUUCUGAAUAUCGAGGCUAUGGCAGAGCCAGACUUAGUUUUCCAUCCUCCCCAUGUCUUUUAGCUCCUGUAGGGUUCAGGCUUGUGCUGGAGGGUCUGUGGCUCAAUUGUGGGCUUGUUUGCCGCUGGAGAUGGCUAAUUAUUGCCUGCCACCAAAAAGCCUCUCUAGAACGCGGCCAUCUUCAUCAGUGAUCAAGCUCUGCCUCCAAUCCAAUUUUUUAAGUUUAAAUCUGGUAUAUUACCUUGUAUAGUAGUGAUGGGGAUAUCUUAAGCGAUUUUGUCUAAUAUCCCAUUCUUCUUUCUAUACUUAAACCAAUCAUAAUAUAAUUCCUUUAAAUAAGUAUAUUCAGUUGAUAACAUGAACUUAGUACUUGCUCCCUCAUCGAGCCAAAUAAAGGCAGGGAGAUCCCUAACCUUCAGUAGUGACAACUCUACCUUAUACCAUGGCUCAUCAGCUAUCUUCUUAAAUGAGAAAUCCUACUUGCAUCAUAAUAUCUAGUAAUGUUUGGGAUCGCUAAACUCCCUUUAUUGGUUUUCUUCAAUAAAUGUGAAGCUGAAAUUAUAGGCUUCUUAGAACCCCAUAUAUAAUUCAUAAAGAAUUUAUAGAAGUGUUUCAAUUUAAUUAGAGAUAUAGAUAAAGGUAACAUCCUGAAAACAUAGGACCAUUUGGGAAGGAUAUAUGAUUUGAUAACAUUACUUCUUCCCAACCAAGAGAUACCAAUGUUUUUCAUUCCUACAAUAAUUUUGCACUAGUAUCUUUAAGAAGGAUCUCAACUAGAGUUCGUACCGAGUUCGUACCGAAUAUUUUACGUUUUUUGGACCCCGGACCCGAACACGGACAUAUCACUGUAUGUUCGGGUUGGAGUUCGGUGUUCGGCGAUUUAAUGGCGUGUUUUCAAAGGCUGCAGGGCAGCCAAUCAACAAGCAUUUGACUUGUGUGCCCUUAGAAACCAUCACAGCCAUGCCUACUAAUGGCAUGGCUGUGAUUGGCCAGUACAGCCUGUGACCCAGCCUCUAUAUAUAAGCUGGAGUUGCGUAGCACAGCACGCACAUGAGGUCUUACUAGUGUAGGGAGAGGAUGCUUAUGAAAGAAUUCUGCAAACUAGUGCAUUAGUGGGGUGCACUUCAUAUCUGAAAGUCAAAUAGAAGCUUCAAAUACCGCGUUUACAUCAGAGUUUUAAAAAGUAAUUUUUUUUUAUGCUAAAUAGUACAUUAGUGGGAUAGUACAUUAGUGGGGUGCACUUCAUAUCUGAGAGUCAAAUAGAAUCGUCAAAUACUGCUGUCACAUUGCAGUUUAAAAACAAAUUGUUUUGGGCACUAAUUAGUGGGGUGCACUUCAUAUCUGCGCAGCGCAGUUGUAAAAAUUCUAAUUUUCUGGGUGCUAAUCUGCUAAGUAGUACAUUUUGCGGCCAGCACUUCAUAUCUGAGAGUCAAAUAGAAGCGUCAAAUACUGCGGGUACAGCGCAAUUGUAAACAUUCUAAUUGUUUUGCUGCUAAACUGCUAAAUAGUACAUUUUGGGCGUGCUCUUCAUAUCUGAGAGUCAAAUAGAAGCGUCAAAUAGUGCGCUUACAGCGCAGUUGUAAAAAUUCUUAUUUUCUGGGUGCUAAUCUGCUAAAUAGUAAAUUUUAGGCGUGCUCUUCAUAUCUGAGAGUCAAAUAGAAGUGUCUAAUAGUGCGCUUACAGCGCAGUGGUAAACAUUCUAAUUGUUUUGCUGCUAAUCUGAUAAAUAGUACAUUUUGGGGCCUGCUCUUCAUAUCUGAGAGUCAAAUAGAAGCGUCAAAUAGUGCGCUUACAGCGCAGUUGUAAAAAUUCUUAUUUUCUGGGUGCUAAUCUGCUAAAUAGUAAAUUUUAGGCGUGCUCUUCAUAUCUGAGAGUCAAAUAGAAGUGUCUAAUAGUGCGCUUACAGCGCAGUGGUAAACAUUCUAAUUGUUUUGCUGCUAAUCUGAUAAAUAGUACAUUUUGGGGCCUGCUCUUCAUAUCUGAGAGUCAAAUAGAAGCGUCUAAUAGUGUGUUUACAGCGCAGUUGUAAAAAUUCUAAUUUUCUGGGUGCUAAUCUGCUAAAUAGUACAUUUUGCGGCCUGCACUUCAUAUCUGAGAGUCAAAUAGAAGCGUCAAAUACUGUGGUUACAUCGCAAUUGUAAACAUUCUAAUUGUUUUGCUGCUAAACUGCUAAAUCGUACAUUUUGGGCGUGCUCUUCAUAUCUGAGAGUCAAAUAGAAGCGUCAAAUACUGCUGUCACAUUGCAGUUUCAAAAGUUAAAAUGUUUUUGGUGCUAGACUGCUAAAUAGUAUUUUAGUGGGGUGCACUUCAUGUCUGAGAGUCAAAUAGAAGUGUCUAAUAGUGUGUUUACAGCGCAGUUGUAAAAAUUCUAAUUUUCUGGGUGCUAAUCUGCUAAAUAGUACAUUUUGGGGCCUGCUCUUCAUAUCUGAGAGUCAAAUCGAAGUGUCUAAUAGUGUGCAUACAGCGCAGUUGUAAAAAUUCAAAUUUUCUGGGUGCUAAUCUGUUAAAUAUUAAAUUUGGGGUGUGCUCUUCAUAUCUGAGAGUCAAAUAGAAGCGUCAAAUACUGCGGUUACAGAGCAAUUGCAAACAUUUUAAUUGUUUUGCUGCUAAACUGCUAAAUAGUACAAUUUGGGGCGUGCACUUCAUAUCUGAGUGUCAAAUAGAAGCGUCUAAUAGUGCGCUUACAGCACAGUGGUAAACAUUCUAAUUGUUUUGCUGCUAAUCUGAUAAAUAGUAUAUUUUGGGCGUGCUCUUCAUAUCUGAGAGUCAAAAAGAAGCGUCAAAUAGUGCGCUAACUGCGCAGUUGUUAAAAAUUCUUAUUUUCUGGGUGCUAAUCUGCUAAAUAGUACAUUUUGGGCAUGCUCUUAAUAUCUGAGAGUCAAAUAGAAGCGUCUAAUAGUGCGCUUACAGCGCAGUGGGAAAAAUUUAAUUGUUUUGCUGCUAAUCUGCUAAAUAGUACAAUUGUGACCUGCGGUCCACUUCAUAUCUGAGAGUCGAAUAGAAGCGUCAAAUAGGGCGCUUACUGUACAGUUGCAAACAUUCUAAUUGUUUUGCUGCCAAUCUGCUGCUUACAUUGGAGUUUUAAAAAGUCAAAUUUUUUUUGUGCUAAAUAGUAUAUUUGGGGUGUUCACUUCAUAUCUGAGAGUCAAAUCGAAGCGUAACUUUGAUUCGAAUUUACUACACCGGUCACUUGUAAUAUUGUUUCACAUCUCCAACACUUGUUACACAGAUCUAAGUGAUAGAAAACAGAUUGAUGUUUUCUACACUAGAAACUACCAGAUAACAAGCUGCUAUAUUUAAACCAGUGAUCAAUAGUUAAGAGGUACUUCAACAAUAUUGUAAUUCUGGGGCAAUACCCUCACAAAUCAAACUGAGAGGUCAGUUUAUAGGGAAAACUGUUGCCUGGAUACAAUUCUAAAACAAUUUCCAUAUGUCCUUUGCAGACUUUACAGGUGCCAACUGCUGUGGCUUUCUGCAGUGUGCAUACCGGCAAGGAGGGCAGGGUUGAGGAGUGGGUGGAAGAUGAUGUGGAGGAUGAUGAGGUCCUAGACCCCACAUGGAAUCAAGGUCAUGCAAGUGACGUGUGCAGUUUGGAGGAAGAGGCACUGGUCGCACAGAGGCACCAGCACAGCAUAAGAAGGUACAGGGUGCAAAAGCGGAGUGGCCGUCCCCUAGCGCUCGUCGGCAUGUAUUAGCUUGAGAAUUACCAGUUAUCCAAGUAAUACAUGUAGCGAUCAAAGGAUCCAUAAUAGAGUUGAGCGAACCUGAACUGCCACGUUCGGGUUUGUACCAGAUUUAAUGAUCCAUUCGUAGUUUCACAGUCAGGUGGGCAGUCCGGUGACCAGGACCCAGACACUGUCUGGGUGGCGAUCGGACGACCGGGACCCAGUUUGCCUGAUGUUAAAGUUAAGAGUCACAAUGUGGAAUGGAUUAGCAGGGUCUGUUGCAGGGUAACCGCACGCCCCCCGGUGUUGAGCACCAGCAUUUGUGUGGCCACAUACCAGGACCCUGAUGCAGCUUCAGUAAAAAGAGUACUGGAUACCAGAAGCCAUCACCAGACUGAUCCGCAACUUGGAACAGGAUGUGACUGCUCGCCUGUCUGCACUGCAGCAUAACUUCAGCCUUCCCGCUCACCGUCUCAUGAGACUGUGCGAGCAGCAGGCGAUAGUGGAGUUUCAGCUGCAGCACGCAUGGGUCAGUGGCUCCUCAACCUAUGGGUCACUUAGUAUAAACUAGGUACACAUUAGCAGAGGCUUGUGAAGGCCUUUUCUCCAUGCAACAGGAGUUGAGCAUUUCUCCAUGCAUCAGGACUGCAAGAAAUGCACCACAGGCCGCAAAUGUUUCUUUUUUUUGUAUGUCCCAAAAUUUUGUGGGCUACCACAAUUAAAAAACAAAACAAAACAUAAAAAACAGUGUUGGCUACCUCAUCCUCCUCCUACACCGCUGCUUCCACCUACACCGCUACGGUCACCGCCUCCUCAACCUCCUCAACCUCAGCCUCCUCACUUAGUAUAAACUAUGUACACAAUAGCAGAGACUUGUGAAGGCCUUUUCUCCAUGCAUCAGGAGUUGAGUUCAGUUUGAACAAUGAAAGAGAAUGCCCUGCACUCCAACCCUCUCUCUAAUGGAUAAUUCUUGUGAUCCUCCUGACAGCCAUGCUUUAGAUUUCGAUUUAUGUUCUUCCAAAGCUAAAAUCAAAGAUUCCAUCUAGUGCUAUUUUAUGGCUCAGCUGUAUUUUUAUGUUAUUUUAAGUGAUUUCCCUAUCCACAUUUGUUUGCAGGGCACUUGUCCUACUCUUACCCUCAUUUUACUUCCUUUUGCAGCUCUCUAGCCCUUUCCAGGAGUUUUUUAGAGGCAUUUUUGUGGCCAAAUGUUUGGGUCCCCAUUGACUUCAAUGGCGUUCAGGGUCAAGUUUGAGCCCGAACCUGGACUUUUUUUCAAACUUCUGCCGAACACGCCGGACCCGAACAUCGAGAUGUCCGCUCAACUCUAAUCUCAACGUUUUUAAAACACAUUUUAGUUAUAUUCUGAGAAAAAUAAAUACCUAAAUACAUAAGGCCAUCUGUGGUCCAUGCAAAAGGAUAUUCCAAUCUUAGAAUCUCCCUUACCGUAAGACUGAGAUUUAUUUGAGAUUUUGCCAUAUUGACUUUAUAAUAAGAAACAUCACUGUACCUUUUAACUUCUGCAACCAAAGUGGCCAAAGAGGCUACUGGGUUUGUCAGGGUAAGAAUGAUAUUGUCUGCUUAUAAGUACAACUUAUGGUCAGUGUCAUCCAAUAUACACCCUGUUCCAAAUUAUUAUGCAAAUUCUAUUUAAGUGUCACAAAGAUUAAAUAUUUAGUUUUUCAGUUUAACUCAUGGAUGGCAUUGUGUCUCAGGGCUCUUUUGAUCACUGAAAACAAUAUUGGACACCUGUGAUAAUUAGAUUGCCAGGUGAGCCCAAUUUAAGGAAAAACUACUAAAGGAGUGUGUUCCACAUUAUUAAGCCGAGCACCAUUUUCAUGCAAUAUGGGGAAGAAAAAGGAUCUCUCUGCUGCCAAAAAGAGUGAAAUAGUUCAAUGCCUUGGACGAGGUAUGAAAACAUUAGAUAUUUCACGAAAACUUAAGCAUGAUCAUAGCACUAUUAAGAGAUUUGUGGCUGAUUCAGAGCAAAGACGAGUUUGUGCAGAUAAAGGCACAUUGAGGAAGAUUUCUGCCAGAUCCAUGCAUCGGAUCACGAGAGCAGCUGCUAAAAUACCAUUACAUAGCAGCAAACAGAUAUUUGAAGCUGCUUGUGCCUCUGGAGUCCCACGGACAUCAAGGUGUAGAGUCCUCCAGAGUCUUGCAACUGUGCAUAAACCUUCUAUUUGGCCACCACUAACCAAUGCUCACAAGCAGAAAUGGCUGCAUUGGGCAGAAAAAUACAUGAAGACUAAUUUUCAAACAGUCCUGUUGACAGAUGAGUGCCGUGCAAACCUGGAUGGUCCAGAUGGAUGGAGCAGUGGAUGGUUGGUGGACGGCCACCCUGUUUCAACAAGGCUACGAUGUCAGCAAGGCGGUGGUGGAGUCAUGCUUUGGGCCGGAAUCAUGGGAAGAGAGCUGGUCGGCACCUUUAGGGUCCCCGAAGGUGUAAAGAUGACCUUUGCAAAGUAUGUGGAGUUUCUGACUGACCACUUUCUUCCCUGGUACAGAAGGAAGAACUAUGCUUUCCGUAAAAAAAUCAUCUUCAUGCAUGACAAUGCACCAUCUCAUGCUGCAAAGAAUACCUCUGCAUCAAUGGCUGCUAUGGGGAUAAAAGGAGAGAAAGUCAUGGUGUGGCCUCCAUCCUCCCCUGACCUCAAUCCUAUUGAGAACCUUUGGAGCAUCCUCAAGCAAAAGAUCUAUGAGGGUGGGAGGCAGUUUACAUCAAAACAGCAGCUCUGGGAGGCUAUUCUGACAUCUUGCAAACAAAUUCAAGCAGAAACUGUCCAAAAACUCACAAGUUCAAUGGAUGCAAGACUUGUGAAGCUGCUAUCAAAUAAGGAGUCCUAUAUUAAAAUGUAACGUGACCUGUUAAAAUGUUUAAAAAGUCAAAAUGUUGUUAAAAGUUUGAUUGAAAUAGCUUUUGAUUUCAGUAAAUAUGCUGCAAACACAACAAAUGACAAUUCUCAGUUCUUUACAACCUAUAAAGUGUUUUGAAACGUACUGUGCGUAAUAAUUUGGAACAGUACAUUGUAUGUUUUUUAUGUUUUAAAAAAAUACUGUUAUCAGGAGGUUUGUUCAAUAAAAUGUGAAUUGUACUCUUAAUAGUUGAUAAUAUGAGAAUUAUGCUGACUGUUAUUUACAUCAGUUAGGUAAAUGAGAAAAAUAUCAUUUGCAUAAUAAUUUGGAACAGGGUGUAACGCCCUUAAUUUGAGAAUUAGCUCUUAUAUUGGCUGCCAAUGGCUCCAGAGAUAAGCAAAGGGGCCAGUGGACAGCUCUGUCUGGUACCAUUUUGAAAUUCUAAGCAAGUCGGCUGAAAUGCCUGGAUCCACAGUCGCUGACCUUAUUGGACCAUUAAAUCCAAAUUUCUCUAGAAUCUUAGCCAUAAAUCCCCAGCUGAACCUGUCAAAUGCCUUUUCGACAACCAGAGACAGGGCCAGCAGGGGCACACCAUUCCUGAACGAGUGGUCAAUUAGAUCUAAUAAUCGUCGAGUGUUGCUAUUUGAGGGACGGCCCUGAACAAAGCCAAUUUGAUCUUGGUGCACUAGGAAUGGAUUUGGAGGUUUUAAUGUAUUAACUAUUACUGAGGAGUAGAUUUUAAUAUCGGAAUUGAUCAAGGAUAUUGGUUUAAAAUUUGCGGUGGAAGUGUGAUCCUUGCCCACUUUUCAGAUUGGAGAGAUGGAGGCCUGCAACAACUCUUUUGGUAUUGAGAUUAUCAAUUACAUUCACUAUUUCUUUUUCAGAAAAAGGUAAAUUUAAAUCAACUAUUUGUUCAUUUGGUAGUCUGGAGAGAACUGGUCUUGCUACAGGGGUUCAUUUACCGAACCAAUUAUGUGUGGGUCCCCAGAUUCUUGUUGUAUUUUGCUCACUCUGUGCCCAUUAUAGGUGCAGGAUAUGUUAAAUGUAUUGCUUGUCUGUGCCUCUUCCCCUCCCCCUUUUUCCUGUCCCAUUGUUUCCCAGCAGGGCGUUGUCCCAGGAACACUGCCAGACCUGUUUAAACUAGCUGCCCUAUCCCUCAUCAGCCCUUGCUAUUGUCUGACUCCAUCCUUCCUUGUACUAUAGUAAUCUAUGUUCUCUAUUGUAUGUAAAUGAGGCUGUUGGGGGUUUUAAACUAUGUGUGCUAUGCCUAAUAAAAAUCAGUUGACUCCCAGAACUGCAUGUCGUCCAGUUACUGGGGGAUUGUGUCUUGGAUAUUGACCUGCUGCUUCAGCUACAUGGGCAUUUAAGUGGAGAUAUUGAUGGUAUGUCUUGUAGCUCCGCAAUAAUGGUUUUAUGAGAAAAUAAUCCAGCCGCGAGUAUGACAUAUGUAGGUUAGAAAAAAAGGUGAAAUCUAGUUCAUCUGGAUGCAUUACUCUCCAGAUGUCAUAAAGUUUGAAUUUAUUUGAUAUAUUCUGAAACUCGGUGUCAGAUCUUCAUAUAGGGUUAUGUUUUUUUUUUGGCCGGCUUGAAACUUUUUUAUCCAUGUGACGGUUACCCCUAUAGAGUGAGGGUAUCUACCGUCUGGACAUCCUUCUUCCCAUAGAUAGAGAGUGUUGCAGAGUUCCGACCCGAUAUCCUGUGGAGCUGGUAUAGCUAUAUAGCUGAAGAGAGCUACAACAAGAGCUAGCAGUGAUAUUGCAGUUCCCUACAACACGAGACGAGGCUGCGAGUUGAGGGUAAGAAGGUCUGGUUUAUUGAGCACAAACGCAUUUCUUUUAUACACAUUUUCAGGCCAGAGGCACACCCUCUGGACCUGAUGGAACACAGGGACAAAAGGGACACAAACCAAUAGGAACUUAAUUAUCCACAGGCAGAAAAUAUAAAUUUUUACCCAAAGUUCAGAAACACGCCAAAACUCAAACAUAUCCCCACAAAUUAUACAUCCCUGGUUAGCUCUGAUAUGGGCGAACGACAUAUCCAAAAAUCACCCAGAUCAGAGCAGGGGUUCAAAAGUUUUAUGGAAGUCUCUUUUGACCGACCACAAGCAUGGCUUUCAUGCCCAAAAUAGUUCAGUUCGACUGCACGAACGGGGUAGUUUGUGCAAAUAACCAAGUUUAAAGUGUUGUUCGUAAUGUCGAAUGCUGUUCGACUCCCAUCGAAGGGUCAAAGUUCUGGAGAAGGUAAAGUUCAGCGGUGUUCGUGCCGUAGCAUGUCCAAUUUGAGUUCCAUGAACUCAACAACCAAACACCGCUGAACGCGCUAGACUGAAUUAAAAUGGCCGCCGCCAUGUGUUCGUAUGUCAAAUGGCGGCCACUUCGACUACUUCGGUACUUCGGCUGUAUCCGAAGUGCCACUUCAAAGGUGUAGAACGGUUCCAAUAUAUAUUAAAGGGGCAGAACCAGUGCCUUAAAUAAACCACCAUAACUACUGCAAUCACAGAGGGGUUUUGUUACAAUCCAUAACUGAAUCAAUGAUAGAAUUAAAGUCGCCUCCUAUGAAUAGAGUUCCCUGCACCAGUUUCUCCACCCUAGUUAAAAGAUUAUUUAAGAAUUUCAGCGGAUGCUUGUUAGGGGCAUAAAUGUUGAGCAACAAAUAAAUUCUGCCAUGAAUUUCGCAAAUUAAAAAGAUAUAUCUGCUGUUCUCCCCUAUUACCCUGUGAUCUUAUUUGAGAUUAGAAUAGCUACACCGCGUUUCUUAGAUUUAUAAGCCGUUGAGACAACAACUGGGUAAUAAGAGCUCUUCAGCAUAGGGGCUGUGGCGAAACCAACCUCGCCACUGUGAACUGGAGAAGCCUGGUUGCUCGCCUGCUCCCUUUGGACUAUGGCCCUGCAGGUUAAACCGUUUAUUUCCCCUGCAGAAAGGCUUAUUUGUGUGAUCUGAGUGCCAUUCAUCUAAUAAUGUGCACUCAGAUCCCAGCUAUCUGGGGAUAUGUGAAAUGUCUGUGUGUUAUGUGUAAAUGUGACUUUAUGUAUUUUAAAGUGUUUUGUGUCUUUUUGCAACCAUGUGCUUAAUGGAGUCUUGUGUCUAUCCUGGGAGAUAAUUGAAUUACUCUCCAGGAUAGAAGACUCUGAAACUGGUUUGGGCCAGAAAGCCAUGCUUCAUUUAGUCACAAAGGACUUUCCCUUAACUUUUGAACCCCUGGUCUGAUUCGUGCCAUUUUUAAUAUGUUGUUCCCCUGAAUGGAUUGAUUAUGAAAAUGUAUGUUUUAUGUUUGUGACAUGUAUAUUUUAGAAGUUAGAAAUAUUGUGUAAAAACUGUAUUCCUCUGCCGGUGAUAAUGAGAUUACCCAUUGUGUUCAGUAAUCAUAUCACCUGCAGAGGGGAGGAUUUUGUGUGGGAGUGUCUGGGUGUAUUGUACGGAUUGAUUGGUUGUUUUGUAACGCCCUGUGGGCUGUACUAUGUUUGUGGAUUGGGAAUAAAAGAGACUGUAUGUGACAGUACAGGGAGUUCCUGUUUUAACCCUCAAAGUGAAGUGUCGUCUCAUUAUUGGGGGAAGGAUUUAUUGUAUGCUGUUCCAGUUUGACUGCUAGGAGAGUAAACCUAUUCGCAUGGUUCCUAUUCAACUGUCUACAGCAUUCAUAUGCUUGAGAGAAGGUAUACGCUUCUCGGUUUGGUGAUUGUGGUGUCUGCUGCAGUGCUUGGAGUCCUCAGGAAGCGCUAGGAGCAUCCUUCAACGGAGGUACCCAGUCGGGGUGCCAGGCAAUCCGUUACAUUGGUGGCAAGCGGUGGGAUGGCGUCCUAGUGCGAGGUAAAGCAGCUCAGAGACACAGUUCGUGGAGUUACAAAUUGAGGGCAACGCUAGCACACGUGCAGCGCCCCUGGGAGCAGAGGUAUCCAGCGACUUGAAGCAGACAAGUAUGGAAGGCUCUGGCGAUGAUUGGAUGGCCGAGGUGAGGCAGCGAGUGGCCCAGUAUGGGGAUGAUUUAUCCAUGGAGGUACGCCGGGUGAUCUGGAACCAGGUCACGGCCGAGCGAAACACAAGGCUGGCCCGAGAAUUCCGGCUGGCGAAAGAGAGAGUAUGCUCAGCGGAAGGAGUGUUACAGCAGCCGAGUAGAGGCUGCAUCCGAGGAGGCUAGCCGUCUCCCCCUGAGGCGGCCGCAGGAACCCGAAGUAGGGGUCCUCAUAGACUGGUCCUGUGAGGAACCACAACAGGCAGGUGGAGAUGGGACCGGCCCAGAUCCCCAGCAGCAGCCGGAGUUGCCAGGUGCGGAAGCAGGUGGUCCUUACACGCAAAUGUUGAGGGACCUCACAGACUGGUCCUGGGAAGACCCACAGAUGGCAGGUGGAGAUGGGACGGCGGUCUCUCUACCGGCCCUACAGGGAUGCUGGGUGGUCGGCCCAGAUCUCCAGCGGCAGUAUGUAUCCCAGGGAGCUGAAGGUGCAGUCCUUCCUCCCCAGCGGCAGUGUGUACCCCAGGGAGCUGAAGGUGCAGUCCUUCCUCCCCAGCGGCAGUGUGUACCCCAGGGAGCUGAAGGUGCAAUCCUUCCUCCCCAGCGGAAGUGUGUAUCCCAGGGAGCUGAAGGUGCAAUCCUUCCUCCCCAGCGGCAGUGUGUAACCCAGGGAGCUGAAGGUGCCGUCCUUCCUCCCCAGCGGCAGUGUGUACCCCAGGGAGCUGAAGGUGCCGUCCUUCCUCCCCAGUGGCAGUGUGCAUCCCAGGGAGCUGAAGGUGCCGUCCUUCCUCCCCAGCAGCAGUGUGUACCCCAGGGAGCUGAAGGUGCCGUCCUUCCUCCCCAGCGGCAGUGUGUACCCCAGGGAGCUGAAGGUGCAGUCCUUCCUCCCCAGCGGCAGUGUGUACCCCAGGGAGCUGAAGGUGCCGUCCUUCCUCCCCAGCGGCAGAGUGUCCUGCAGGGAGCAGAGACCGCCAGUCUCGCACCCCAACCACAGGACAAAAUAAUGAAAGGGGAGACAGCUGGUCCCCCUCUCCACCAGCAGAGAGAGUGUCAGGGAGAGGAGCCUGAUACCCCUCCUCCCCAGCGGCAGUUUACAGUUCAGAGAGAGGAGCUUGUUACACCCUCUCUCCAGCGGCAGCCUAACCCAGCAAGGGGAGAUGUUACACCCCCCAACAGUGCAGAUGGGACUGUAGUCUCUGCACUUACAGCACAAGGGAUAGGGACAGUCGGUCCUGUUCCCCAGCCACAGAGCGGUGUAUCCAGAGGGGAGACAGUCGGUCUCUCCCUCCCACAACCAGGCUCCCACCAGGCUACUUCCGUGGUAGCACUGGCAUCAGGGCAGAGUACCGCUGGUCUCUGCCCACUCAGCAACCCACCAAGGCAGCCUAACAGUUGCCCACACAGUCGUGGUGAGGCACCUGGACAUGGACAAAUUUCUCCUCUACCCAGGUGUAGUAACCAGUUAUUGUGGGUGGCCUGUACUGCUGUUUCUGUUUUGUGGGUGGGUUGCUGGACUAACCAGGGCACUGACCGGCAGGAGGUCAGAUACCCUGUUAGUCUAGUUGGUAAAGGGGAGAAGUGUGGCGAAACCAACCUCGCCACUGUGAACUGGAGAAGCCUGGUUGCUCGCCUGCUCCCUUUGGACUAUGGCCCUGCAGGUUAAACUGUUUAUUUCCCCUGCAGAAAGGCUUAUUUGUGUGAUCUGAGUGCCAUUCAUCUAAUAAUGUGCACUCAGAUCCCAGCUAUCUGGGGAUAUGUGAAAUGUCUGUGUGUUAUGUGUAAAUGUGACUUUAUGUAUUUUAAAGUGUUUUGUGUCUUUUUGCAACCAUGUGCUUAAUGGAGUCUUGUGUCUAUCCUGGGAGAUAAUUGAAUUACUCUCCAGGAUAGAAGACUCUGAAACUGGUUUGGGCCAGAAAGCCAUGCUUCAUUUAGUCACAAAGGACUUUCCCUUAACUUUUGAACCCCUGGUCUGAUUCGUGCCAUUUUUUAAUAUGUUGUUCCCCUGAAUGGAUUGAUUAUGAAAAUGUAUGUUUUAUGUUUGUGACAUGUAUAUUUUAGAAGUUAGAAAUAUUGUGUAAAAACUGUAUUCCUCUGCCGGUGAUAAUGAGAUUACCCAUUGUGUUCAGUAAUCAUAUCACCUGCAGAGGGGAGGAUUUUGUGUGGGAGUGUCUGGGUGUAUUGUACGGAUUGAUUGGUUGUUUUGUAACGCCCUGUGGGCUGUACUAUGUUUGUGGUGGGAAUAAAAGAGACUGUAUGUGACAGUACAGAGAGUUCCUGUUUUAACCCUCAAAGUGAAGUGUCGUCUCAUUAUUGGGGGAAGGAUUUAUUGUAUGCUGUUCCAGUUUGACUGCUAGGAGAGUAAACCUAUUCAUAUGGUUCCUAUUCAACUGUCUACAGCAUUCAUAUGCUUGGGAGAAUUUAUUUGUUUCUCCGGUUCGGUGAUUGUGGUGUCUGCCAGAGUGCUUGGAGUCCUCAGGAAGCGCUAGGAGCAUCCUUCAACGGAGGUACCCAGUCGGGGUGCCAGGCGAUCCGUUACAGGGGCAUUGUGUUUCCAAAGAGUCUCCUGUAAGAAUCCGAUCGACACCUUAAGGACCCUUAAUUGUUCUACUACUAGCUGACAUUUCUGUGGGUAAUUUAGUACUAGUGGGUAAUAAUACCUCCCCAACUGACCAGUUCCUGUCAGUGUAAGAGAUAACAAAACAUUUAAUUAUCCAAACCUUAUUAGAUUUAUGAAAAGACAAACACAACCCCUUGUGGUGAAAGUCAUAACAGAACAGUUACAAUUUAUAUCUGAACAAUUGUUUUACUCCUUAAGUGAUUAAUGUGCUUAACCCCUUAAGGACAGAGCUUCAAAAGCUUGUCUUUCACUUAAUGACAACAGCAUUUUUUUCAUUUUUUGCUGUUUGCAUUCAACUGCAAUUUGCAUUUUACUAAUUUGUUGCACCAACACAUAUUAUACAUCGUUUUCUUAAAGGACAGAAAGGGCUUUAAUUUGAUGUAACACACAUAUAUAUAAAUGCUUAUUUAUUAUAAAAAAAAUACAGAAAAAUGUUAAAAAAUGAAAAUUUUGUGUUUUUUUUUUUACAGUUUUUGCAAUAAUAAUGUGUGCAUAAUUAGUGCAGGUUAAGAAAAGUAAUUAAAAAUAAAUUCAUUUAGUUGUUCUGAUUUACAGAAUAUAUAAUGUGGUUUUUUUUUUGGUAGUUACAGGUCACAAAGCACAAGGAGUAAACUAAACCUUUAAUGUGGAGCGAUUUUAGAAUUUGGUAUGUUUGUCUUGUAAGCUUAAUAGCCAUAAAAGAAAACAAAAUUGCCACACAAAAGUAUAUAUUUAUAUAAAGUAGACAUCACGGGCUAUUUACCUAUGGUUGUUUUGACACUUUCUACGUAGGCAUUUCACCGCCAACCUCUGCUAAAUAUUGGAGUAAAAUUGUGGGGUUUUUUGGUUUUUGAGACACAAACUUAUAACAAAGAAAUUCUCAUGUAUAUUUUGUAAAGUUGGUGUGUGCUAUCUCUGUACAAAGUUUUAUUUUGUGUUCAGUUACAUCUGCUGAGUAAAAGGACACUCCCAUUGUAUGUCUUUGGCACUAUUUCGUGAAGCUACAGUGCCACAUAGGAGACCUGUCCUUUUCAGUAUUCACAGGUAUUUCAAAAGGUAUAUUUUGAACCUUAGCUUGGGAUCAUUUUUCCGCUAGCUUGUACCAGAUGUAGUGGUAAUAAGCAUUUUUUCUGCCUUUUUGACACACAAAGUGAGUUUGCACAGUAUAUUUUGCAAACUUUAUGUGUGCUACAACUGUAUAAUACUUCAUAUGUUGCUCAGCUAUGUCGGCUGAGUACAGCAAUACCCCCGUAUGUACCUUUGCCAGGUAUAUGUGGAUGUUGAAGCAGUGGCGGAUCCAGAGCCUUAUCUCGGGAGGGGCACUUGUAGAUUAUUUAAAUAAAUAAUCCAGACACAAUAACCACCAUAGCUAAGUGUAGUGGUUAUGGUGUCAAUAGUGCCGGGACCCCCUCCCAGAGUAAGUAGUCAAACCGUUUAAGAACAGUUUGACACCUUACCUGAGGUCUGCAGGGAAAUGGGUCAGUAGUAGGGCAUAGGAGCAGUGGUGUGUGUGAGUGGUGCAAUGUGUAAGGGGUGCAGUGUGUGUGUGUGUGUGUGUGAGGGGGACAGUGUGUGAGCAGUGUGUGUGUGUGUGAAGGUUGUAGUGUGUGUGAGGGCGGCAGUGUAUGUGUGUAACAGUUGCAGUGUAUGUGUGUGUAUAUGUGUGUGUAUGGGGGGCAGUGUGUGUGUAUGGGGAGCAGUGUGUGUGUAUGGGGGUGCAGUGUGUGUGUAUCGGGUAGUGUAUGUGUGUAGAGUGUGUGUAUGGGGGGGCAGUAUGGGGGCAGUGUGUGUGUAUGGGGGGAUUGGAAGUGUGGGUGCAUGAGGCGUGUGUAUGGGGGGGGGUAAGGCACGUGGCAGUGUGUGUAUGGGGGGCAGUGUGUGUGUGUAUGGUGGUGUGUAUGGGGGGCAGUGUGUGUGUAUGGGGGGGCAGUGUGUGUGUAUGGGGGGCAGUGUGUGUGUAUGGGGGGGCAGUGUGUGUGUAUGAAGGGCAGUGUGUAUGGGGGGGCAGUGUGUGUGUAUUUUAUUUAAGUCAAUAUAAAUAAUCAUUAUGUCCCCCCUCCCUUCUUACCUUUACUGGGGGGGAGGGGGGACAUUUCUCUGGUGGUCUGUUGUCCGUGGGCGAUUCAUUGGUGGUCCAGUGGGGAGAGUGAACUCUAGCUCGCGCUACAGGGCUAGAGUUCACUCUCGCGAGAUUUGGAGCGUUGCCGUGGUAACCGCGGCAACGCUUCAAAUCUCACGAGAGGAGGACCCGGAGGAGCUGCAGCCUUAGCUUCCGGGUCCUCUCUCUCACUCCCUCCCUCCCCCGCUGGCCGCCAGCACAGUGCCUGCGGACUGGGGAGGGAGAUCUCUGAUCUUCCCCCCGGUCCGCAGGUACAUUGCAGGACUAGCACCUGCAUGUGCUGCUGGCAGGGGAGGGAGAGGGAGACCGGCGGAUUUCUCGGGGGGGCAAUUGCCCCGUUGCCCCCCCCGGAUCUGCCACUGUGUUGAAGGGGCGCAUUUGAGACGCAGCCAUUCAGUUUUUUUCUAACUUUGAAGUUUUACGCUGUGUCCAUGUUCCAAUUUGGAGUAGUUUAGACAGUUGGUUAUUGAAACUUCCCCACAAACACAUACUAUUUAUUAAAGAAUACACCCUGGGGUAAUUCAAAAGGCAUAUUUUGAACCUUGGCGUGGGAUAAUUUUUUCUCUAGUUUGUUCCAGUUGUAGUGGUAAUGAGCGUUUUUAAAAUGUAUUUUUUUACUUUUUUUAACUUUUUAACUUUUAAAAACUAGUUUUUAAACUUUUGUUUUGCUUAUUAAUUUUUUUUAAACUUUCCUAAACUUUCUUAAAACAUUUUUACAGAUUUAACAUUUUUCUAAGCUUUUUUUUUACCGUUAACCCCUAACUAGCAGUAAGCAGCACUAACAGUAAAUUCCCCAUUUUCACAUAACUCCCACCCACCCCAACUCGCAAAACAUAUAGUUAUAAAAUAUUUAAAUUAAUUAAUUAAAUAAAUUGAACCCCUGAGGGGUAGCGGCGAUCCGGGGUUAAUUUUACCACAUGACGGACAAGGUCCGUCACUCAUCAUUAAGGACCUCUAGGCACCCAGACCACUUCAGCUUAAUGAGGUGGAUCUAGAUUCUGCAUCAACUAAGGUUAACCAGUUUUUAAUAAACAUAGCAGUUUCAGAGAAACUGCUAUGUUUUAUCAAUAAGGUUAAACCUUCCCCACAAUUCUCUAGUGGCUGUCAUUCCGGCCAGCCACUAGAAACUUCGUCUUCUCACUGUGAUUUUCACGGUGAGAGCCGCACAUCAGCGUCCAUAGGAAAUGUAAAUGCUCCUGGGGCCGACGAAUCUUGUGGCGCAGCUCUUGCAGCGUCGCGCAUUCAACCCGGCGGGCGUAACAGAGGAGGAAGAGGAGGCAGAAACCUCCCGUAGCGCUGGAAAAAGGUAAGUUUUAACCCCUUUCCCCUUUCCAGAGCCGGGCGGGAGGGGGACCCUGAGGUUGUGGGCACCCUCAGGGCACUAUAGUGCCAGGAAAACAAGUAUGUUUUCCUGGCACUAUAGUGGUCCUUUAAGGGUCUCCCCUCUGUGACGGACCUCGUCCGUCAGCCGUCCUGAAGGGGUUAAAUAAUUAUGCUAAAAAGUGUAAAUGUGCUUAUUUGAUUAGUAUCAAUACUUAUUUUACUACUUAAGUGUUUAUGUUUUUUAAUAAAUUAUGCUGAAGAAAAUAUGUGUGUUUAGUUAGUUCUAAACUUAUAGAAUUUACAAUCAUAGUUGGAAAUACCCAUUACCGUUUUCAAAAAUAUGAAUAUGUAUUUUAGUGCAAUUGUAUUAUUUUAAAUUCGGUUUGCCCUUUCCUUACUUUAUUCACUUCCCUUCUCCCUUCUUGGUUAUUUAAUUUUAACUUUAGUGCCCAACCCAAAUAAGCCAGUAGUAAGAACACCUUUAUAUUUAUUGUGUGUGUUUUCAGGUAAUUCAAAUAGUGGUAUAGUUAAAGUGUCAGGAAAACAAACCCUCAGGGUCUCUCUCUCUUGGCGCUGAAGGGGUUAAAACCCCUUCAGAGACUUACCUUAAUCCAGCGCUGGGCUGGUGACCUCUCCUCCCCCGCCGACAACAGCUCCCGAGUGGAGCGGAAUGCGCAUGCGUGGCAAGUACCGUGCGCGCAUUCAGACAGUCCAUAGGAAAGCAUUUGAAAUUUUCGUAUUUCUAUUGAAUUUUCUCUCUUUUAUUUCCCCCAAUAAUUCCUUCUCUCUCCUUCCCAUCCCCUCCUUCCUUCCUAAGCAUCCCCCCUCUCUUCAGAAUUUUCUAGUACUUCUUGAUAGAUCAGGGAAACAUUUAAGAUGUCGACAUUCCUCUGGGAUGGAUGUCAGGUCCCUAAAGGCAAAUAUAAAUUUUUCUUUGAAUUUAUACAAGUGAAAUCUGAUAAUUAUGUAAACUUCCAAAAUCUUGCAGUGGGAUAUCUUCAGUGAUACCUCUUCCAGACCUCUGCCUGUCUUCCAGAUCUUGCAAGUUGGUUUCCAAUCUCUUAAGUUUGGAAUUCAAUAUAUCUAUUGUGUUCUCUGCUGCAUCCAGCUUAAUACAAGGUUGUGUCAAUUGGGUUUAAUUUAUUUCUAUUUUUUUGUUCUAAUCGUUUAAAUUCUGUAUUUAUUUCCCUGGUAUUCUUCUCGAUCUCAUUUUGGAGUUGAUCAAAUUUUUAUUCUAAGUAUAUUUUCAGGGAAUCCAUACUGGUUGUCUGCGGAUCAAGGUCUGCGUUGUUUCCUAUCAUCAAUUUUUCAGCCUCCCUUUCUUUGACAAUUAUUGAAGAGUCCGUGAGAUUUAAUUACGUAUCCGUUAUAUGGGUUUUCAAAGUAGCAAGUAAAAAAAAAAAAAUCAGGCCGUUUUUCAGCCUUCUUUUUUUUAGAUGUAUUAUCUCAUUUAGAAUAUUUUCUUGUAGCCAUAUUGAGACUGUAGGAGAUAGAGAGUGAGGGAGAGAACUGCUCUUAACUUUAAUACUACAGCUCUAGAGUUGGUAUUAAUAGCUCAUUGUUCUUAAUCUAUUCUGUUGAAUUUUAUUUUUUGAAUUGUAAUGUAUUUCCAGUGUCCCUGAAGAAAAGGAUUUGGAAGCAAUGACUUUAAAACUGCUUUUUUAGUUCUUGUAUUUUAAGACUGCUGAGCUGCAGAUUGGUAUUGAUAGCUCUUUGUUCCUUAUCUAUUUUGCUGUUUGUUAGAUUAUAGAAAAAAAUCUGUAUAUAGUUAGAAGCAGUGAUGGAACUACCUCAGUCGUAGGGGUUGCAGCUGCGACUGGGCACUCCACUCCAGGGGGCCCGGCCGCCCUGCGGACCCCUGCGACUGGGUGCCCACCGCCAUGUGUUGCGGCCCCAGCCCGCAUGGUACAACUGCCGGGGGCCGCAUGUUCAGGAGCCCAUAGGGUGGCCCAUGCUGUUAGAGCCACCCGAUGGAAAUUAAUUUCCCCUGUGAUGACAUCAGAUGCUGGGAGGAAGUGACAGCCCCGGUCACUUCAUCCCAGCAAUCAGAGAGAGCCGCAGGGGAGGAAGGAGAUGAGGAAAUCAGAGUGGGAACUCUGACUCCCAUCAGGCUGAACCACCACUGUACCAUAGGGAAAGUCACCCUCCUGCAUCUAAAAGGUAAGAAACAGGAGGGUGACUUAAACAUUUUGUAUGUGUCUGUAUGUGUGUUAGUGUAUGUGUGUCGGUAUGUAUGUAUCUGUAUGUGUGUGUCUGUCAGUAUGUAUGUGUCUGUGUGUAUGUGUGUGUAUCUGUAUAUAUAUGUGUAUGUCUGUAUGUAUGUGUGUCUGUAUGUAUGUGUCUCUGUGUGUAUAUGUGUAUGCCUGUUUGUGUGUAUGUGUCCGUGUCUGUAUUGUGUGCGUAUGUAUGUAUGUAUGUGUCUGUGUGUUUGUAUAUAUGUGUCUGUAUGUGUGUGUCUACAUGUAUGUGUGUGUGUGUGUAUGUAUGUAUGGGUCUCUGUGUGUAUGUGUGUGUUUGUAUGUGUGUGUAUGUGUGUCUGUAUGUAUGUGUGUGUAUGCGUGUCUGUAUGUAUGUGUGUGUUUGUCUGUAUGUAUGUGUGUGUAUGUGUGUAUGUGUGUGUGUCUGUAUGUAUGUGUGUGUUUACAUAUAUGUGUGUCUGUAUGUGUGUAUCUUUGUGUGUGUCUGCAUGUGUAUCUGUUUAUCUGAAUGUGUGUGUGUGUGGGGGAUGUAUAGGGGGUGCCCCAAGACAAUUUUUGCACCAGGGCCCCAUGGUUUCUAGUUACACCUCUGGUUAGAAGCCAAUAUUUCUUAUAUUGCACAGAGUCCCUUUAAUUUUAUAACAUGACAGGAGGCUUCGUAUUUGCUUUAGUCUCUCUUUACUGGAACUCUACAGCAGCACAGAAAAACAACCAAUCAGAAAAAAGUUAGGUACUAUAAAACCCCCUUCCCAUUGCAUCAUUUCCUCUUUCUUUGCUGCUCCGCAGUCAGUACAGGUCAGAGUACCACUGCCUCCUGCUUAUAGUGGGUGGCUUUGGGAUUUAGUGUGAUUUAUUUAUGAUUGUUAUUAAUUAUGCUUGGUUGUGAGAUUUAUGUGCCUUUCUGGCUCUUUUCUUUUCUUUGGGGAAUAUUUCCUUUACAUUACUGAUAGUUUUCCAUGUGUUUAUUUGUACAGAUUACUGAUCUUUUCCAUGUGUUUAUUUACACAGAUUACUGGUAGUUUGCCAUGUGUUUAUUUAUACAGAUUACUGAUAGUUUUCCAUGUGUUUAUUUAUACAGAUUACUGGUAGUUUGCCAUGUGUUUAUUUAUACAGAUUACUGGUAGUUUUCCAUGUGUUUAUUUAUACAGAUUACUGGUAGUUUGCCAUGUGUUUAUUUACACAGAUUUCUGCUAGUUUUCCAUGUGUUUAUUUACACAGAUUACUGGUAGUCUUUCAUGUGUUUAUUUAUACAGAUUACUGGUAGUUUUCCAUGUGUUUAUUUACACAGAUUACUGGUAGUUUUCCAUGUGUUUAUUUAUACAGAUUUCUGUUAGCUUUCCAUGUGUAUAUGUCACAAAUUUCUGUGAGUUUCAGGUAGGUAGAUCACAGAUUACUGUGAGUUUCCAUAUGUAGAUAUAUCCAGGCCCGGACUGGCCAUCGGGCACACCGGGCAAAUGCCCGGUGGGCCGCGGUGGCCAUGUGCCGAGGCCGGCAGGGGAGAUCACAGGAUCUCCCCUGCCGGUCUAUGCAGGGCCGGCACUCUCCUAGCGCCGGCCCCGCUGUUUGUCACGACGGGCCGGUGGGGAGAUCAAGGAUCUCCCUGACCGGCCCACAUGCGGCCGCCGGCGGGGAGGGAGGGAGACAGCCAGCUAGGCUGGAGCGAGGACCCGGCGGAGCACUAACUUGCAGCUCCGCCGGGUUCCUCUCGCGAGAUCCGGCGCGUUGCCAUGGCAACGCGCCGGAUCUCGCGAGAGUGAACUCUAGCCUCACAGGCUAGAGUUCACUCACCCACGAGGACCACCAGGGAACACCGCCACCCUGCCUGCCAGCGUGCCGGACCCCCCCCCUCCCAGGCUAAAGGUAAGAAGGGAGGGGGGGAAAUAAUGACUUUUUUAUUUUUUUUAUUUACCCCCCCUACACACACACACAAUAACAUUUAUACAGCACUCUCACACCCAUCACACACAGCACUCUCUCCCACAGCACUCUCUCACACAGCACUCUCUCACACAGCACUAUCACACACAGCACUCUCACCCAUCACACACAGCACUCUCACCCAUCACACACAGCACUCUCACACACAUUACACACAGCACUCUCUCACACAGCACUCUCACCCAUCACACACAGCACUCUCACACACAUUACACACAGCACUAUCACACACAGCACUCUCACACACAUUACACACAGCACUCUCUCACACAGCACUCUCACACCCAUCACACACAGCACUCUCUCACACAGCACUCUCACACCCAUCACACACAGCACUCUCUCCCACAGCACUCUCACACCCAUCACACACAGCACUCUCUCCCACAGCACUCUCACACCCAUCACACACAGCACUCUCUCCCACAGCACUCUCACACCCAUCACACACAGCACUCUCUCACACAGCACUCUCACACCCAUCACACACAGCACUCUCUCACACAGCACUCUCACACCCAUCACACACAGCACUCUCUCACACAGCACUCUCUCACCCAUCACACACAGCACUCUCACCCAUCACACACAGCACUCUCACCCAUCACACACAGCACUCUCACACACAUUACACACAGCACUCUCACACAUUACACACAGCAAUCUCUCACACAGCACUCUCACACCCAUCACACACAUCACUCUCACACAGCACUCUCACACCCAUCACUCACACCCAGCACUCUCUUACCCAUCACACACAGCACUCUCACACCCAGCACUCUCACACCAUCACACACAGCGCACUCUCACAGAGCACUCACACACACAGCACUCUCACACCCAUCACACACAGCACUUUCACACACACAGCACUCUCUCACAGCACUCUCACAGAGCACUCUCUCACACCCAUCUCACACAGCACUCUCACACCCAUCACUCACACACGGCACUCUCACACCCAUCACUCACACACGGCACUCUCACACACAUCACACACACACCGCACCCUCACACACACACAUACACCGCACCCUCACACACACACAUACACCGCACCCUCACACACACACAUACUGCACCCCUCACAUACACACAGAACCCCCCCAACACACUGCACCACACACAUACACAAUACUUCCAAAUAUAUAUAUAUAUAUAUAUAUAUAUAUAUAUAUAUAUAUAUAUAUAUAUAUAUAUAUAUGUAUGUAUGUAUACACGCACACACUACACUCUUAAAGGACCACUCUAGCCACCCAGACCACUUCAGCUUAAUGAAGUGGUCUUGGUGCCAGGUCCUUCUAGGGUUAACCCAUUGUUUUAUAAACAUAGCAGUUUCAGAGAAACUGCUAUGUUUAUCAAUGGAUUAAGCCUUCCCCCAAAGCCUCUAGCAGCUGUCUCAUUGACAGCCGCUAGAGGUGCUUGCGUGCUUUUCACUGUGAAAAUCACAGUGAGAGCACGCAAGCGUCCAUAGGAAAGCAUUAUAAAUGCUUUCCUAUGCGACCGGCUGAAUGCGUGCGCAUUCAGCCGACGUGGCGGAUCGGAGGAGAGCUCCCCGCCCGGCGCUGGAAAAAGGUAAGUUUUAACCCCUUUCCAGAGCCGGGCGGGAGGGGGUCCCUGAGCCACAUAUGCAUCACAUUACACCACAAACACAACACGACUAAAACCGACCUCAUUACACAAUACCACACCACGACCAGCUCACUCUACACACACGCAAUACCACAAGCAGGCUCCAAACACAUGCACAAUACUCUUUCCUGGCCUUUUUGUCUCCUGGUAUCCAUUUAUAGAGACACCAGAGACAAGUUGCAAGGAAACACAGUGCAAGCAUGUUAUUAAAUUUUCUUGCACUGUGCAGAACAAAUACAGGACUUUUUUCUCAUGCUAGAGCUCUUCAGCAGAGCUCUGCGCGUGGUCUGCCCUGGAAGAGCAUUGAACCAACAUGCUCACUUUGAGAGGAGGCGUGUUUGUCAUUGGUGAUGACAAAACACACCUCCUCUGCCCCGCCCCCUUUUUAGUGGGCCGCUGUGUUAAAAAAAUGCCCGGGCCGAAUUUUUCUCCCAGUCCGGCCCUGGAUAUAUCACAGAUUGCGGUGAAUUUCCAGGUCUAUAUAUCACAGACUACUGUGAGUUUCCAUGAGUAUAUAUUCCACAAAUUACUGUGAGUGUCCAUGUCUAUAUAUCACAUAUUACUGUGAAUUUCCAUGUAGAUAUGUCACAGAUUACGGUGAGUUUCCACCUAGAUAUAUCACAGAUUUCUCGGAUUACUGUGAGUUUCCAUGUGUAUAUAUAUCGCGGAUUUCUGUGAGUCCUUUGGCAGUAUAUACUUAUAUCACAGAUUCUGUGAGUUAUAGUACAGUGUAUAAUAAAUUACAGAUUUCUGUGAGUUCUAUGACAGUGUAUAUAGCACGGUUUGCUGUGAGUCUUAGUGCUAUAGAUAUCACGAAUUGCUGUGAGUUUCACUGACGGUAGAUGUCAGUCCUGUCUAUGCCGAUACUAUUCUAUCUUAUCAGGCUUCUUGGGAAGAUUCAUUGAGUUGGCAAUUGUUUUUGCCCUACUCCUGAAGAGACCAUGAGUACAAUACCCUUCAGGCGGUGCGAUGAUGAUGAUGACCUACAAUAAAGAUAAGAUAUCUCAUACGGAUCUGUAUGUACAUGUGCAUUACAAUUUGCACUUUAAAGAAGGUAUUGCUCAGCAGAGCUUGAUUUUAUGGACACUCACUGGAACAUGUCCAGCUUAAACCCAAUACAACUGGUUUUACCUCUAUGUUGCCUGCUGGGCACUUAGGGACCGCCAGUCCCAGUUACGGUUUAUUCACACAGUAGUACGCUGUCUAAGAUUAGUGUCUAAGGGUACUAGGUCACAGGAUACCCGGAGGAUUUACAGAUAUUUAGGGGACUCUGCCAAACUCAGAGGUCCCCAUUACUCAUUUAAUAUGAAACCCAGGAUUGGCCUGCUAUGUCUGUGCCCCAUUAAUUGGCCUGCUAUGUCUGUGCCCCAUUGAUUGGCCUGCUAUGUCUGUGCCCCAUUGUUUGGCCUGCUAUGUCUGUGCCCCAUUGUUUGGCCUGGUAUGUUUGUGCCCCAUUGAUUGGCCUGCUAUGUCUGUGCCCCAUUGUUUGGCCUGCUGUGUCUGUGCCCCAUUGAUUGGCCUGCUAUGUCUGUGCCCCAUUGAUUGGCCUGCUAUGUCUGUGCCCCAUUGAUUGGCCUGCUAUGUCUGUGCCCAUUUGAUUGACCGACUACAUCUGUGCCCUUCUGUCUGGCCUGCUCUAACUGGGCCCAUCGUUGACCUGCUCUACCUGUGCCCGAACCCCCCUUUGGACCACAAACCUGGGGGAAUAUCACUGAAGUAAGCUCAGUACCCUCUAGGUGGGUGUCCGGACAGGCACUGCUGCCAUAUUAUCCAAGAGGACACCAGGAUAUGGACAUCUAACUGUGAUUGGAGGGGUGAAGGCCCUACACCUCAUGCCCUGAAGGGCAAAGUUUUUAUGAAAAUUCCCGGGCACGCAAUUACGGGUUAUACCCAACGACGACACAUCUCCAAGGGGAAUUUCGCACAAGCAGGGAACAGUGCUCAGAUGCCAUAUUAGGUAUUGGAAGUGUUUUUCUAUGUCAUGUUUAGCUCCUGACCUUUUCAACUGGAUUCACUUGAUUUGUUUUUUCCAGUCUGCUAUCUGACCUGCUUUCCGAGGUACGUAUUUUCCAUUUUCUACUUCAUUGGUCGUUUCUUUGUUUUCGUGCCUUCUAUUGUCCUAUCGCUCGGGUCGUUGAGAGGCCUGACUUGACCUCCUCCGACCUCCCGGGCGCUUGUGGAUUGCGGAGAACGUCUCCAGCUUUCCUCAGACUACCGACGGUCAUCCUGGAGCCCGCGCGCACGCACGGGAUCCGGGCGGUCCGUUGAUAGUUACCAUCUUCAGCUCCGAAACGUACUUUUCUCAUCACCCCUUUCUCUUAUUAAGGUCGGACACGGCCCGAGGUUGUAUACUUUGCUUAUAUAAAAUAAGGGUGUAACCCCACGUUUGGUCACCCUGAGUCUCUACUGGACUCUGGUUUGGAUUACAGAGGGUGCGGCCCUCCUUCACCUCGGCCCGAGACUGAUAUUUUUAUUUUCAAGAGUAGAGGGCGAACCCCUCUUAUUUACCGAAUCGGACACUGAUUCAUUAUUAGAGGGCGCGGCCCUCCCUCAACCUCGGCCCGAUACUGAGCUGGAUAUAGAGGACAUGCUCCGAGUGACUCAUUCUCAUAGAAGGAACCGGACACAGAGGUAGACUCUAUGUUUGACUUCUAACGGGUGCGGCCCGCUCGUACCACCAACCGUGCGCGGACUCAGAGUGUGAUCACAUUUUACAGAGUGCGACUCUCUCAUACACUCAACGCACUAUGGUGCCGUACAUUUGUUCCUCACACAGGCUUGUACCUGUACAGGUCAACUAUGACGCAUAGAGGGGCAUCCCUCCUACAUCCAAUUUAAAUAUGAUGACCGCCCUACUGAUUUCGUUCUAGAGGGCUACCUGAUCGGGCAAGGUAUACAUAGUUUGACUGGAUCCAUCUUGUAAUCCACAUGAGAACUACCCUCAGAGGUAUUAGUGGGGGAGGUUUCCCACUUAUGUACACACAUUCCGGGAGACAGUACAGCUAAGGAGGAGCCUCAGUUUUUACAAGAGUACAGGUUUUGGUAUAACCUGUGCUAUAUCAAACAGACAUUGCACUCUGUUUCAGAUAUUCAUUGUGUACAAACUGUGCAGACUAUUCUCCCGUGUCAGGGUGACAUGAGAUCCUGAGACCUACAUAGGGCAAACGGGCACUGCCUUGCUCGAGUAGCAAGACUGGAAAAUUCAUAUAAAUGGUCUUCAGGUGCACCGUAUGCAUGGAUCGCAUGGAGAAACCAAAAUUAUCAGGACUUGGCUUCCCUGGUCCUUACAAUCUUGAGAUAAAGUUGGCAGGACUGCUCCUACAACUCUGAACACAUAUCUUGAGAACAGUGUUCGGACUCUAUAUCCAUCACGGGAACCAUCUUGGUUUGGGUUCUCACUAGCCUUCCUAUUCAACUACCAUCAAGGAAGCCUACACUGGGAGAUACAUGCUUGGACAGUCUAUGAGACAGGAACUUAGGGGUCUCACUAUAUUAUUCCCUAUCUUGUAGGUGGCGUGUAGGCCAGGAACCCCUACACGAAUAUUGACAGGUCGGGCAUGGAACAGGAUUGUACAAAUGGUAAUCAGAGUAUUUCACACUCUCACUGCAACACGUAAGGGCUCUUCUGUGUUAUACGGGUCCUAAACUCUAUUGGAUCCGGCCAUCUUAGCACUCUUAGAGGAUGAUGUAUUUGGAUGGAAAUCUCAACCCCGGUUUCUGGUCCCAUCCUUUUGAAUUUUCCAGGAUCCACAAUUCCCAGAAUAGUUGACCACCGUUUACCACACGAGUUCAGUUUGAGACCUUGAUUGGACGCCCUUUGGAUGUCUUUUCUAGACCGCAGCCGUGGAUUACACAGUCCAGUUGGUCUCUUAGGAUACGGCUAGUAUUGUCCACACUAUUAUCUGCAUAUAACUUUAUUUUCGGAGAAGUAUUUCCCACCCAUUCUUAUCCCUCCCUUGUUUAAUUUUAUAGUUUGGAUUUAUCAGGUACGUAUACAACUCUGCUUGUUGUUUCUGCUACCUGUCACCUGUCCUUAUGUCUGUUUUUCAUAAGUAGGGUUGGGAUAUCUACAUAUUAAGGUAAUUUUGUUUGCUACAUUGGGUAUCUACAAGUUUAUUCAAAAUACAUUUCAUUGGAUAAUCAACCUAUUCUGGUUUUCUCUCAUUUCAGUUUCCAGUCCUUCAGCACUAUCUGGUGUGGAUGGUGGACAUUGACUUAUUUAUUUUCAGUCCAUCAACGCUAUGCGGUUGACAGUUCUUCUCAGACGUUGGACAUUGCUGUAUUCAUCGUAUCUGGACUUCGUUGCUUCCCAUUAUUUUUCUGCCUUUGUUCUGUUUUGUCGCAGCUUGAAAGAGGAAAUGAUGCAAUGGGAAGGGGGUUUUAUAGUACCUAACUUUUUUCUGAUUGGUUGUUUUUCUGUGCUGCUGUGGAGUUCUAGUAAAGAGAGACUAAAGCAAAUACUCACCUCCUGUCAUUAAUAAAAUUAAGAUUAUAGGUACACUAAAGCUAGCAUAAUCUACAAUUGUAACAAAAGCCAUUUAAAAUGUAAACACAGAUCCUCUUAAAUGUAUUGCAGUACUUGCUGAACUGUAAUCGAACUGCUGCAUUUUUUCUUAGCUCAUAAUAGAUUUCCAGCAUCCCCAAAUUGGAAUAAAAAGCAGAUUUGUAGAUUAGUGUUGGUAGCUCUUUAUUCCUAAUCUGUUUUGUUGUUUUAUUGUUUCUUUGGCGAUACAGAGUAACUGUGCAUAGUGAGAAGCUAAGUUUCUUAUAUUGCACAAAUUCUCUUUAAAUUGUAACUGAGGCAGCUUGAGACACUUUUAUGUGGCAAUUUUAUUUUCUUUGAUGGCUAUCAAGCUUACAAGACAAACAUACCAAAUUCAAAAAUCGCUCCACAUUAAAAGUUUAUUUUACUCCUUGUGUUUUGUGACCUGUAACUAUGAGAAAAAAAAACUUAAAAUCCUAGACACAUUAUAUAUUAUGUAAAUCAGAUCUAAAUUAAUUUAUUUUAAUUACUUUCCUUAACCUGCACUAAUUAUGCACACAUUAUUAUUGCAAAAACUUUAAAACAAACAAACACGUUUUUUCCUUUUUUUUUGCAUUUAUUUGCAAUUUUUUUUAUAAUAAAUAAGCAUUUAUAUAUGUAUUUGUUACAUCAAAUCAAAGCCCUUUUUGUCCUUUAAAAAAUUAUAUAUAUAAUAUGUGUUGGUGUAAUAAAUAAGUAAAAUGCAAAUUGCAGUUGAACGCAAACAGCAAAAAAUGCAAAAAUUGCUUGUGUCCUUAAGUGCAAGACAAGCUUUUGAAGCUGUGUCCUUAAGGGGUUAAUACACUCAUAACUGAUAAAUAACUUUUCAUUGUCUGUUUUCUUUUUCGUGAAUAUUUAUGAAUUGAUAUGUAUGUUAGUGUUGAGCAUUUAUUUCUUUUAAAGUCUGUUAAUUUUCUGUAUGAAAUUAACUAUGUAGAAUCUUUCAUCACAGUUUGCAGGUCAGAUGAAAAGUUUAAUUUUAACAGUUGAUGUCCAGUUGCCUAAAGGAAUGCUUUUCUAAUUUAUUGUAACAUGGAUAUGUCACGCUUUACCUACAUUAAAACAAAAAACAUGUGCAGCAUCAAUACAAUGGUUUACGUCAUUUACAGCUCAAUGUUAUUAUUAUACAGUUUAAAAUUGAAUUACAUGGACUCCAAAACAUUCUCAUUUCUUAUCAUGAGUACAGAUGGGUGGGUGCCCUGAAUAAAAAUUGGGGGGUGGGGGGACCUAUUGUCCUCCUCCCUGGCCCCCAACCCUGAGUGGCAGGUGGGAGCACUCAAUAAAAAUUUAACCACUACCUACCCCCUCACCCUAAAAAUAAUGAGGGGAGGACCUUUAACUAAGUACCUGUAAAAAUAAAAUAAAACUUACCAUUUGAUGUUUUCUUUUUUCUAAAAUCGUCUUUUUUCAUCCCCAAAAAAAGGCCAAAUAAAAAUCCAUAAUAACCGACGCACUUAAAAAAAAAAAAAGAGCGCAAAAAAAUAAUAAUCCAUCUUCACCCAUGGAGGGCUCUGCGCAGACUGAGCUCUGCAGGGCGGGGGAAGGCUUAUAAAGCCUUGCCACCCCCUGAAAUUAGGCUCAGAGCACUCUGACAGGUAAGUCUCUACAUUUACCUGUCACAGCACUCUGAUUGGUUGGCUUGAAAUCCACCAAUCAGAGUGCUCUCUGUCAUUUUACAUAGCGUGGGAAAGUUCUUUGGAAUUUUCCCACGCUGUGGGAAUUACACAGCGUGGGAACAUUCCAAAGAAUCAUAACACUCUGAUUGGUGGAUUAAGUUCCAAAACUCAGGUCUGUAACUUGAUUCUUCUCUCUACCCCCAGGAAGUGGAAACAAAACUUGAAUAGAAGACUAGCUGGCUGGUCAAAUGUAAUAAAAUCGCUUUUCUGUGUCUUUUUCAGGUUGAUUGAAAUAAAUAUUUCAUGUAUAUUUCUUCUUAGGAAACAGGCUCACCAGGUUUAUAUACGUUUACAUUAACCAAAAAUACUAAUACACUAUCUGACUUAAGUUUUUUUCAGGUUUAUUCUUACAGUUACUGAUACAUAAUAAAACAACAAAGGAUGUUACAGGAUUAUGGAUGUUCAACAGCAGGUGGUAAAUGCUGAAGGGAGAACUAGUCUACAUAGUUAGAGAAGAAGAAGAACACCAUGCAGCAAGCAGCAAGACCUUGUGGUUCUUUAUCCACUAUUGUAUAUAGAUAUGACCAUAAUGACAUCAGAAUAUAAACCUAGCCAUAUAAGGAAAAGACCCCCAAUCCACAUUCCAGACUUCUCAUACAAAGAAAGCCUUGUGACUGUGAUACCAUCUGUUACUUAUGUCAAUCCAGACAUCCAUACAUAAUCAAUAGAAACAUAGAAUAUGCAAUAUUCUACAUGGACAGAAUAUGGCCUACACAUAACAUUGGGUUUGGGAAGGUUCAUGGCUUACACACUUGGAGGCCGGUCGGAGAAUACUUGUCAUCUCCGAGGGUUGGGGUCAGUUGGCAAAAUGGCAAUGGGCUAUGGCUAGCAUUCAUAUGCCAUGAUGCCAAUUUUUCUUUGGACACGGAAUUUCCUGGGACAGUCUCUACAGUUAUCUUUAAUUAUCUGCCUAUCUGCUUGCUCCUUAAUAGUGUUGUAAUAUGCCUUUGAGUACCCUUACAUAACUAAUAGUCAGUGUUUUCUAGAUUUAGCUAAUAACCCAGAGCUACGCACUAUGGUAAUGGUCUGAGCCUUCCUUUGGUCAGAUAGUUCAUUUACUCACUAGCAUCUCAAUCUAUUUUACCGUUGCAGUUUCCUUAAAAUCUCUUUAACAAGGCUUUAAAGUUUAAAUCUGGUUUGUCUCUAUGGUAUUGUAAUUGUCAAGUACACCCUGUAUGCCAAGAUGAGUCAUGUUAUAUUAUUCCAAAUGUGGACUGCCCUUCUAUUUGUAAUACAAAAAUUGGUCUGUAUCAUGCCACAAUAAAAAUACAGAUUAAAAAUAAAUAAAUAAAUAAAUAAAUAACGUAUUCCUUUAGUUUUUCUCUAUGGUGACAUAAAAUGUACAACUUUAUCCAAGGCCAUUGUAUAUAUUGGAUCAGGAAAUUGAUCUCCUAUAACUGUUGAGCAUUUCUCUCAGAUAGUAUUGUUAUGUUGUUCCAUCAUUUCUUUCUUUUUUAUAAUUCUUUAUUUGUCAGUGCAAUGCAUGAACCAUACUUCAAUCAAUAGUAGUUAGGUAGAGGGAUAACAAGGCAUAGGGUGUGGAACAUUGGUAAUCUGCAACAUUUUUAUAUAUGUAUAUAACAUGUAAACAUAGGCCUAGGUGCAUCAGUAGGUGACUUAGCUUGUGGUGGUUGUUUGGGUGGGUAGUGUGUCCACAGGGAGCCUAGGGGCUGAUGCCUUAAUAUGCUGAAAAGGAGUAGUGGGGGGUAUUGCAGUUUAGGUCUCAGCAUAUAUGCGUGCGUGAUAGUGUGAGUAAGAAGUGUAGUAUUUGCAGAGCAGUGUGUGGUCCUAUAUGCGUGAAGUCUGCUGUACUCAGGAGUUUGAAUGAAGCUGAUCAGUGCGGCUACUCAAGCUUGUGGUGUUGCUUUGUGCUUUGGGUGUAAUUGCUCCUAACCGAAGGAGCAGUGGACAGCGAAGUGGAGCGGCGUGUGAAAGGUGCCAUUCGAUUCAUUUGACUAAGAGUGUGUUAUGCGGAUGUCUCAGAACUGUGAUGAUAUGAUUUGGAGCUGUGUUGUAAAGAGUGUGUCAUUCAUUAGCGGGAGAAAAUAAUAUCAGGAAAAAGCUACUGAACUUAAGGUAAAACAAAAAGAAAAAGUAACUUUUUUGUAGUCAUUAGACUCUCCAAGGCCUGAGUAGAGGAGAAGUUGUCGACAGGAAUUCAGGUGCCAUAUAUCAACUCAGUUCUGAUUUGCUGUCUUGGUCCCGUAGCCUGGGAUUUCAUGAUACUCGGAACGAAGGGAACAGUGCGUUCGGGAUCCCAAGAUUCAAUAAUGGGUCUUGCAGGUGGUUUGGUGGUCGGGGGUGUCAGUCACAAUGCUUCCUGGAAUGUGGGUGUUUCCUCCAGUGAUGCGAGCGUGUGUGAGGUUCCGUUGAGGUUCGCUACCAGGCAUCCGUUCAUCUUCAUGAUGUAGGUAAUGCCUGCUGUUUGUAGGCUGCUUGUUAUAGGGCCAAAGGAUUUACCACAGAGAGGAGUGGCUUUGACCAGGUCUUGGUAGAAUGUAAUGGAUGCAUCCUCAAAAGCUAGAGGUGUCUUAUUUUUAAGUGCCGACAUUAUCUGGAUUUUAUCAUGGACGGUUAGGCUUCUGUAUCUGUAAAAUAUGACAUCUUGGGUCACUUUCGGUGGUGCCUUGUUGGAGCCAGGUACGCAAUAUGUCCCAUCAAUAGCCAGUUUCUUUGCUGUUUGCUGUUUGCUCUGAGAUGUGUGCAAACCUGGUGGCCAUCUACAAGAAACGUCUGUGAUUGCCAACAAGGGUUUUGCCACCAAGUACUAUGUCGAAGGGGUCAAAUACUUAUUUCACUCAUUGACAUGCAAACCAAUUUAUAACUUUUUUGACAUGCGUUUUUCUGGAUUUUUUUGGGGCCCCAAUCGAUGUGCCAGAAUUUAAAAGAUUCUGGGCAUUGACUAUGCUGAUUGUGGCGAAACCGGCCUCGCCACGUGUCCUUGGAGGGGGCUGCUUGCCCGCCUCUUGCCUUUAUGUAUGUACGAUGUUAACUCACAAAGUUAUAAAAAUGUACAAAAAGUAACUUUUCAGCUUGGAGAUAAUUGAGUAGAUACAGUAAUUGACUCAAUUAUCUCCUAAGCAGAGGGGAGGAAUAUGCUGGGUGUGUUUCCAUUGUCCAAUUGUGUCUGAUUGGCUGCUGUACUUGCAUUGUAUGUGUUGUAAUGUGUUUAUUGGUGGUUCUGCAAAACCCUGUGGGCAGUACUAUGUUUUGUGGAUUGUAAUAAAAACCAGGCUGGGUGUGCCAGCACUGGAGUUCCUGCUUAACCCUCAAAGUGAAGUGUCGUCUCAUUAUUGGGGGAAGGAUUUAUUGUAUGCUGUUCCAGUUUGACUGCUAGGAGAGUAAACCUAUUCGUAUGGUUCCUAUUCAACUGUCUACAGCAUUCAUAUGCUUGAGAGAAUUCAUAUGCUUCUCCGGUUCGGUGGUUGUGGUGUCUGCUGCAGUGCUUGGAGUCCUCAGGAAGCGCUAGGAGCAUCCUUUAACGGAGGUACCCAGUCGGGGUGCCAGGCGAUCCGUUACAUUGGUGGCAAGCGGUGGGAUGGCGUCCUAGUGCGAGGUAAAGCAGCUCAGAGACACAGUUCGUUUGGAGUUACAAAUUGAGGGCAACGCUAGCACACGUGCAGCGCCCCUGGGAGCAGAGGUAUCCAGCGACUUGGAGCAGACAAGUAUGGAAUGCUCUGGCGAUGAUUGGAUGGCCGAGGUGAGGCAGCGAGUGGCCCAGUAUGGGGAUGAUUUACCCAUGGAGGUACGCCGGGUGAUCUGGAACCAGGUCACGGCCGAGCGAAACACAAGGCUGGCCCGAGAAUUCCGGCUGGCGAAAGAGAGAGAGUAUGCUCAGCGGAAGGAGUGUUACAGCAGCCGAGUAGAGGCUGCAUCCGAGGAGGCUAGCCGUCUCCCCCUGAGGCGGCCGCAGGAACCCGAAGUAGGGGUCCUCAUAGACUGGUCCUGUGAGGAACCACAACAGGCAGGUGGAGAUGGGACCGGCCCAGAUCCCCAGCAGCAGCCGGAGUUGCCAGGUGCGGAAGCAGGUGGUCCUUACUCGCAAAUGUUGAGGGACCUCACAGACUGGUCCUGGGAAGACCCGCAGAUGGCAGGUGGAGAUGGGAUGGCGGUCGCUCUACCGGCCCUACAGGGAUGCUGGGCGGUCGGCCCAGAUCUCCAGCGGCAGUGUGAGUCCCAGGGAGCCGAAGGGGUCGUCCUUCCUCCCCAGCGGCAGUGUGUAUCCCAGGGAGCAGAAGGUGGCGUCCUUCCUCCCCAGCGGCAGUGUGUACCCCAGGGAGCUGAAGGUGCCGUCCUUCCUCCCCAGCGGCAGUGUGUACCCCAGGGAGCUGAAGGUGCCGUCCUUCCUCCCCAGCGGCAGUGUGUACCCCAGGAAGCAGAGACCGUCUGUCUCGCACCCCAGCCGCAGGACAAAAUAUUGAAAGGGGAGACAGUUGGUCCCCCUCUCCACCAGCAAAGAGAGUGUCAGGGAGAGGAGCAGGUUACCCCCUCUCCCCAGCGGCAGUCUACAGUUCAGAGAGAGGAGCUUGUUACACCCUCUCUCCAGCGGCAGCCUAACCCACCAAGGGGAGAUGUUAAGCCCCACAACUAUGCAGAUGGGACUGUAGUCUCUGCACUUGCAGCACCAGGGGUAGGGACGGUCGGUCCUGUCCCCCAGCCACAGAGCAGUGUAUCCAGAGGGGAGACAGUCGGUCUCCCCCUCCCACAACCAGGCUCCAACCAGGCUACUUCAGUGGUAGCGCUGGCACCCGGGCAGAGUACCGCUGGUCUCUGCCCACUCAGCAACCCACCAAGGCAGUCUACCAGCCCCCCGCACAGCCGUGGUGAGGCACCUGGACAUGGACAAGUUGCUAUUUUAUCCAGGUGUAGUAACCAGUUAUUGUGGGUGGGCUGUAUUGCUGUUUGUGCUUCGUGGGUGGGUUGCUGGACUAACCAGGGCACUGACCGGCAGGAGGUCAGAUACCCUGUUAGUCUGGAUGGUAAAGGGGAGAAAUGUGGCGAAACCGGCCUCGCCACGUGUCCUUGGAGGGGGCUGCUUGCCCGCCUCUUGCCUUUGGACUAUGGACCAGACUUUAUGUGAAUGUGUUAACCCAGAUAGCUAUGCCAUGGAGCCCAUUCGUGUAGUUAAAGACUUCGGCUCCAUGGCAAUUGAACU
Molecule: non-coding RNA, 50355 nt
Organism: Pelobates cultripes (western spadefoot toad)
Lineage: Eukaryota; Metazoa; Chordata; Amphibia; Anura; Pelobatidae
Source: the annotation of a GenBank genome assembly